RNAcentral lists this long non-coding RNA (52122 nucleotides) under Triticum aestivum (bread wheat). RNAcentral's name for it is "long non-coding RNA (TAES_LNC010944)". The record is from RNAcentral. Lineage: Eukaryota; Viridiplantae; Streptophyta; Magnoliopsida; Poales; Poaceae.
GUUGUAACACCCUCGAUGCGACUAUAUCUCCCACGUGUCGAGGCACGACUUAGAGGCAUAAUCGCAUUGAAGGCAAUGUCGCAAGUGAGGUAAUCUUCACACAACCCAUGUAAUAUAAUAGGGGAAAAAGUUACAUAGUUGGCUUACACUCGCCACUUCACACAAUUACAUGAAUAAAACAUUACAUCAACCAAGUACAAUCAGGGCCCGACUACGGAGCCAAAAUAAAAGAAGAACCCCAAAUGCGACAAAGAUCCCCGAUCGACCCCAACUGGGCUCCACUACUGAUCAACUAGAACGAAACAACACAAAUGAACAAGGUCUUCAUCGAGCUCCUCCCGAGCUUGGUUGCGUCAUCUGGACGGUCUCAUCGGCACCUGCAAACUGGUUUUGGAAGUAUCUGUGAGCCACAGGGACUCAGCAAUCUCGCACCCUCGCGAUCAAGACUAUUUAAGCUUAUGGGUAAGGUGAAGGUAUGAGGUGGAGCUGCAGCAAGCGACUAACAUAUAUGGUGGCUAACCUAUUCGCAAAAGAGAGCGAGAAGAGAAGGCAAAGCACGGUCGAUAAAAGUAUGAUCAAGAAGUGAUCCUGGACUACCUACGCCAAGCAUAACUCCAACAACCGUGUUCACUUCCCGGACUCCGCCGGAAAGAGACCAUCACGGUUACACACGCUGUUGAUUCAUUUUAAUUAAGGUCAACUUUAGGUUUUCUACAACCGGACGUUAACAAAUUCCCAUCUGCCCAUAACCACGGGCACGGCUUUCGAAAGAUCAAAUCCAUGCAGGGUGUCCCAACUUAGCCCAUGACAAGCUCUCACGGUCAACGAAGGAAUAGACCUCCACCCGAGAUAUUCCGAUCAAACUCGGUAUCCCAGUACAACAAGACAUUUCGACAGGGUAAAACUAAACCAGCAACACCGCCCGAUGCGCCGACAUCCUGAUAGGAGCUGCACAUAUCUCGUUCUCAGGGCAACACCGGAUGAACACUACGUACAGCUAAAACCAGCCCUCAAGUUUCCCCGAGGUGGCGCCGCAAGUGGCUCUAGUUUGGACCAACGCUUAGACAAGCACUGGCCCGGGGGGUUAAAAUAAAGAUGACCCUCGGGAUGCGCGACUCCCAAGGGAAAAAGGCUAGGUGGCAAAUGGUAAAACCAAUGUUGGGCAUUGCUGGCAAAGCUUUACUUAAGGCGAAGUGUCAAGGGGUUCCCAUUAUAGCCCAACCGCGUAAGGGACGCAAAAUCCGGGAACAUAACACCGAUAAGACGGAAACUAGGGCGGCAAGAGUGGAACAAAACACCAGGCAUAAGGCCGAGCCUUCCACCCUUUACCAAGUAUAUAGAUGCAUUAAUUAAAUACGAUAUAUAGUGAUAUCCCAACAAGUAAAACAUGUUCCAACAAGGAACAACAUCUCCAUGUUCCAACAAGGAACAAUCUUCAAACUUCACCUGCAACUAACAACGCUAUAAGAGGGGCGGAGCAAAGCGGUAACAUAGCCAAUCAACGGUUUGCUAGGACAUGGUGGGUUAGGGGCUGAACAUGGCAAUUUGGGAGGCUGACAAGCAAGUGGUAGGCAUCGUAGCAAUGGCAUAGCAAAAGAGCGAGCAAACUAGCAUAGCAAAGAUAGUAGUGAUUUCGAGGGUAUGAUCAUCUUGCCUGAAAUCUCGCAAGGAAGAAGAACGAGUCCAUGAAGAAGACAAACGGACGAAGAUGAACGGGUCCUCACAAACUCGACGUUAUCGGAAUCAACCCGAAGAAGCAAUCACCGGAAAAGAAGCACACAACAUAGUAAACAACCAACACAUCAACAUGGCAUGAUGCACAAACGAGUAUGAUGCAUGUCCGGUUUAAAGAGGCAUGGCAUGGCAAAAUGCACAAGCAAUCCUACAAAUUAAGUGGAGCUCAAUAUGCAACGAGUUGCAUAUUGACGAAACACCACAUCAAUUAUUUAGUUCUCUCUCGUUUAUGUACCCAACAAUAUUAAAUGUUGAUUAACAUGGCAAGAGGUGAAACAUGAUGAAACUAUCUAAUCUAGGCAUGUUUAAAUGAGCCGGAACAACAAAACAACAAGUCCGGAAAAUCCCCAUGUGCAAAUAUUAGGUUUGGUCCUGAUCUGUCCUAAACACAAUUUUAGAGUUGUUUAACAUGCAAAGUAAGGUCACCAUGAUAAACUAGGCAAAAUUCUACCCCAUUUACAUAUAAAGUUUAUUAAAUUCCGAGUUACGGUUAUUAAGUUAUGAAUAAAAUCAUUUUAGCAUGACAUAGAGCAAAAUUAAUGCAAACAACAUUUUAGACAUUUUAACAUGGCAAGAAAGUGGCAUAUUAUUAAUCUACACAAAAUUCUGAGCAAGUUUCAUUUAUAAAGCAUUUUAAUCCGAUGCACGGUUAAUUAGUUAUUAAAUGCAUGAAGACUAGGGGCUUUUCUGUAAAUCUGCAAAUCCCUGUAAAUAGAUAAAUCGCUGAACAGGAAAAAAAAACGAGUCAUGGGAUGAUUCUGAAACAGGGCAGGCGGUGGGGGCUCUCUCACCACGGGCUUCGGCCCGGUAGCAGGAGGAGGAGGCAGGCCGGCGAUGCUGGGUCUCGGAUCUGGUUGGCGGCCCAGCAGAGAGGAGGGACUGGCGCUGGGCCUGGUGGAGCUGGGCCGGAUCGGGCGAAGGGGAGGCGGCCCGCGCGAGAGGGAUCUCGUCCCCGACCUCCCGCCGAGGCCGAGGCGAGCCAUGGUGGCGGCGGCAGGGUCCGGUGGUGGCCUGAGGCGGCGGGGCGAGGCGACACCGGCAGGAAUGGACAGAUCGGGAACUAGGGAAGCUGGAUCCGGUGUCGAGGGUGGUCGACGGCGCUCGGGGAUGCGGGAUCCGGCAGGGCGGAGCUCUCAUGGCGGCGCAAGUCGACGGGGCUUGGCAGGGAGCAAGGUGGUGCGGCCGGGAGGCCAGCGCGGAAGGAGGCGGUGCCUCUCCAGCGAAGUCCGGUAGGGGAGGCGGCGAUGCGGGCUCUGGAUCGGGGCUCCUCCCGAUCUGGAGCUCGGGGAGCAGGGGUGGCGCGAUGCGGCCUCAGGGCCCAGAUCGGGGCCCGGGCGGCCUGGAGCGGGCCUGGCGGCGCGGGGCGAUGGGAGGAGGCGGUGGGGCGACGUGGCAGCGCCCGGUUGGGCAGGGCGACGCCUCAGGUGGCGGCUGGCCUCUUGGCAGCGCCCCAAGUGGCGACGGGGAGGUGGCUGCGCGCGGAAAUCAAGGAGAAGGAGGUGGGAGGCGGCUGGGAAAUGAUUGGGGCACUGAGAUUUAGGAGGAGGGGUAGGUAGCUGCCCAAAAUGGAAGGGGGAAGGUUUAUAUAGGGCAGGUUUUAGGGUUAGGGGGGUUUCGCUCCGUUUCUGGAUCCUCCGAUCGCAAACGAACGGCCCCGGUCAAAGGGGAAAACUAGAUGGGGUUUGUGGGCUGUGUAGGAGGGUUAGGCUGGGAGGAGAGGGGAGAGAUGCAGCCCGGCACAGUUUCCGGAGACCGAAAACCUGCGACGAAAAGACCGGCUACUAUUGCCGCUAUAUUUAAUCAUUGGGGCAUCAAACGAACUCCGAUUGCGAUGAAACUUGACAGGAGGUCUAUCUACACUAUAAUAAGACCACACGUCAAAUCUCAUCCCAUUCCGAGAACAUUUUCUGGCCACUUAUAAAAUACUAUCUCGGACAUGCCGCGGGCGCGUGCAAGUGUGUCUCGUCUCAGAAUGGACAACGGAGAGAACGAGGAGGCCGGGACGGAUGCAAGUUUUGAAAACAUGAUGACGCAAUGCACAUGAUGACAUGAUGAAAUGCAACACGCAAGCAAAUGACAUGGCAACGACGGCGAAUAACUGCACGACACCUGGCACAUCGGUCUCGGGGCGUUACACUAGUGAUCUUGUCAACCAUCAACACUUGAUGUUUUUCUUGAUUUCUACCUUCGUUUAUUUCAGCAUCACGAAGAGCUUGGGAGUUGUUUCCGCUAUCCCUUGCUUAUUAUAGUUCAUCACGAAGUUCUACUAACUUGGUGAUGGUGACUAGAGAAUUCUGUCAAUCACUAUCUUAUCUGGAAGAUUGACUCCCACUUGAUUCAAGCGAUUGUAGUACCCAGACAAUCUGAGCACAUGCUCACUAGUUGAGCGAUUCUCCUCCAUCUUUUAGCUAUAGAACUUGUUGGAGAUUUCAUAUCUCUCAACUCGGGUAUUUUCUUGAAAUAUUAACUUCAACUCCUGGAACAUCUCAUAUGGUCCAUGACGUUCAAAACGUCUUUAAAGUCCCGAUUCUAAGCCACUAAGCAUGAUGCACUAAACUAUCAAGUAGUCAUUUUUGGGGAACGUAGUAAUUUCAAAAAAUUUCCUACGCACACGCAAGAUCAUGGUGAUGCAUAGCAACGAGAGGGGAGAGUGUUGUCUACGUACCAACGCAGACCGACUGCGGAAGCGAUCACACAACGUAGAGGAAGUAGUCGUACGUCUUCUUUCCGAUCCGACCGAUCCAAGCACCGUUACUCCGGCACCUCCGAGUUCUUAGCACACGUACAGCUCGAUGACGAUCCCCGGGCUCCGAUCCAGCAAAGCUUCGGGGAGGAGUUCCGUCAGCACGACGGCGUGGUGACGAUCUUGAUGUUCUGCCGACGCAGGGCUUCGCCUAAGCACUACAACGGUAUGACCGAGGUGGAAUAUGGUGGCAGGGGCACUGCACACGGCUAAGGGACGAUCUCAAGGAUCAACUUGUGUGUCUAUGGGGUGCCCCUUGCCUCAGUAUAUAAAGGAUGGAGGAGGAGGAGGCCGGCCAAGGCAUAAGGUGCGGCCAGGAUGGGAGUCCUACUAGGACUCCAAGUCCUAGUAGGAGUCCAUCAAGAGGGGAGGAAGGGAGAAGGAAGUGGAGGAGUAGGAAAGGUGGCCGGCCCCCUUUUCCCUAGUCCAAUUCGGACUAGAGGGGAGGGGGGGCGCAGCAGGCCUUUUCUCCUCUUCCCACUAAAGCCCAUCAAGGCCCAAUACUUCUCCCAGCGAAUUCCCGUCACUCUCCGGUACUCCGAAAAAUACCCGAAUCACUCGGAACCUUUCCGAAGUCCGAAUAUAGUCGUCCAAUAUAUCGAUCUUUACGUCUCGACCAUUUCGAGACUCCUCGUCAUGUCCCCGAUCUCAUCCGGGACUCUGAACUCCUUCGGUACAUCAAAACUCAUAAACUCAUAAUAUAACUGUCAUCGAAACCUUAAGCGUGCGGACCCUACGGUUCGAGAACAAUGUAGACAUGACCGAGACACGUCUCCGGUCAAUAACCAAUAGCGGGACCUGGAUGCCCAUAUUGGCUCCUACAUAUUCUACGAAGAUCUUUAUCGGUCAAACCGCAUAACAACAUACGUUGUUCCCUUUGUCAUCGGUAUGUUACUUGCCCGAGAUUCGAUCGUCGGUAUCCAAUACCUAGUUCAAUCUCGUUACCGGCAAGUCUCUUUACUCAUUCCGUAAUACAUUAUCUCGCAACUAACUCAUUAAUUGCAAUGCUUGCAAGGCUUAUGUGAUGUGCAUUACCGAGAGGGCCCAGAGAUACCUCUCCGACAAUCGAAGUGACAAAUCCUAAUCUCGAAAUACGCCAACCCAACAUCGACCUUUGGAGACACCUGUAAUGCUCCUUUAUAAUCACCCAGUUACGUUGUGACGUUUGGUAGCACCCAAAGUGUUCCUCCGGCAAACGGGAGUUGCAUAAUCUCAUAGUCAUAGGAACAUGUAUAAGUCAUGAAGAAAGCAAUAGCAACAUACUAAACGAUCGUGUGCUAAGCUAAUGGAAUGGGUAAUGUCAAUCAGUUCAUUCAACUAAUGAUGUGAUCUCGUUAAUCAAAUAACAACUCUUUUGUCCAUGGUUAGGAAACAUAAUCAUCUUUGAUUAACGAGCUAGUCAAGUAGAGGCAUACUAGUGACACUCUGUUUGUCUAUGUAUUCACACAUGUAUUAUGUUUCCGGUUAAUACAAUUCUAGCAUGAAUAAUAGACAUUUAUCAUGAUAUAAGGAAAUAAAUAAUAACUUUAUUAUUGCCUCUAGGGCAUAUUUCCUUCAGUCUCCCACUUGCACUAGAGUCAAUAAUCUAGAUCACAUCACCAUGUGAUUAACAUCGAUAGUUCACAUCAUCAUGUGAUUAACACCCAUAGUUCACAUCGUCAUGUGACCAACACUCAAAGGGUUUACUAGAGUCAGUAAUCUAGUUCACAUCUCUAUGUGAUUAACACCCAAAGAGUACUAAGGUGUGAUCAUGUUUUGCUUGUGAGAUAAUUUUAGUCAACGGGUCUGUCACAUUCAGAUUCGUAAGUAUUUUGCAAGUUCUAUGUCUACAAUGCUCUACAUGGAGCUACUCUAGCUAAUUGCUCCCACUUUCAAUAUGUAUCCAGAUUGAGACUUAGAAUCAUCUGGAUCAGUGUCAAAAACUUGCAUCGACGUAACCCUUUACGAUGAACCUUUUUGUCACGUCCAUAAUCGAGAAACAUAUCCUUAUUUCACUAAGGAUAAUUCUGACCGCUGUCUAGUGAUCUACUCCUAGAUCACUAUUGUACUCCCUUGCCAAAUCAGUGCAGGGUAUACAAUAGAUCUGGUAUACAGCAUGACAUACUUUAUAGAACCUAUGGCCAAGGCAUAGGGAAUGACUUUCAUUCUCUUUCUAUCUUCUGCCGUGGUCGGGCUUUGAGUCUUACUCAACUUCACACCUUAUAAUACAGGCAAGAACUCUUUCUUUGACUGCUCCAUUUUGAACUACUUCAAAAUCUUGUCAAGGUAUGUACUCAUUGAAAAUACUUAUCUAGCGUCUUGAUCUAUCUCUAUAGAUCUUGAAGCUCAAUAUGUAAGCAGCUUCACCGAAGUCUUUCUUUGAAAAACUCCUUUCAAACACUCCUUUAUGCUUUACAGAAUAAUUCUACAUUAUUUCCGAUCAACAAUAUGUCAUUCACAUAUACUUAUCAGAAAUGUUGUAGUGCUCCCACUCAGUUUCUUGUAAAUACAGGCUUCACCGCAAGUCUGUAUAAAACUAUAUGCUUUGAUCAACUCAUCAAGGCGUAUAUUCCAACUCCGAGAUGCUUGCACCAGUCCACAGAUGGAUCGCUGGAGCUUGCACAUUUUGUUAGCACCUUUCGGAUUGACAAAACCUUCUGUUGCAUCAUAUACAACUCUUCUUUAAUAAAUCCAUUAAGGAAUGCAGUUUUGUUUAUCCAUUUGCCAGAUUUCAUAAAAUGCGGCAAGUACUAACAUGAUUCGGACAGACUCAAGCAUAGAUACGAGUGAGAAGCUCUCGUCGUAGUCAACACCUUGAACUUGUCGAAAACCUUUUGCGACAAUUCUAGCUUUGUAGAUAGUAACACUACUAUCAACGUCCGUCUUCCUCUUGAAGAUCCAUUUAUUCUCAAUUGCUUGCCGUUCAUCGGGCAAGUCAACCAAAGUCCAAACUUUGUUCUCAUACAUGGAUCAUAUCUCAGAUUUCAUGGCCUCAAACCAUUUCGCGGAAUCUAGGCUCAUCAUCGCUUCCUCAUAGUUCGUAGGUUCGUCAUGGUCAAGUAACAUGACCUCCAGAACAGGAUUACCGUACCACUCUGGUGCGGAUCUCACUCUGGUUUACCUACAAGAUUCGGUAGUAAUUUGAUCUGAAGUUACAUGAUCAUCAUCAUUAGCUUCCUCACUAAUUGGUGUAGUAGUCACAAGAACAGAUUUUUGUGAUGAACUACUUUCCAAUAAGGUAGAAGGUACAAUUACCUUAUCAAGUUUUCUACUUUCCUCCCACUUAGUUCUUUCAAGAGAAACUCCUUCUCUAGAAAGGAUCCAUUAUAAGCAACGAAUGUCUUGCCUUAGGAUCUGUGAUAGAAGGUGUACCCAACAGUCUCCUUUGGGUAUCCUAUGAAGACAUAUUUCUCCGAUUUGGGUUUGAGCUUAUCAGGAUGAAUUUUUUUUCUCAUAAGCAUCGCAACCCCAAACUUCAAGAAACGACAACUUUGGUUUCUUGCCAAACCAUAGUUCAUAAGGCAUCGUCUCAACGGAUAUAGAUGGUGCCCCUUUUUUUUAACGUGAAUGCAACUGUCUCUAAUGCAUGACCCCAAAAAUGAUAGUGGUAAAUCGGUAAGAUACAUCAUAGAUUGCACUAUAUCCAAUAAAGUACGGUUAUGAUGUUCGGACACACCAUUAUGCUGUGGUGUUCCAGGUGGCGUGAGUAGUGAAACUAUUUCACAUUGUUUUAACUGAAGACCAAACUCGUAACUCAAAUACUCUUUUCCACGAUCAGAUCGUAGAAACUUUAUUUUCUUGUUACGAUGAUUUUCCACUUCACUCUGAAAUUAUAUGAACUUUUCAAAUGUAUCAGACUUCUAUUUCAUUAAGUAGAUAUACCCAUAUCUGCUCAACUCAUCUGUGAAGGUCAGAAAAUAAUGAUACCCGCUGCAAGCCUUAAAUAUUCAUAGGACCACAUACAUCAGUAUGUAUGAUUUCCAACAAAUCUGUUGCUUGCUCCAUUGUUCCGGAGAACGGCGUUUUAGUCAUCUUGCCCAAAAGGCAUGGUUCGCAAGCAUCAAGUGAUUCAUAAUCAAGUGAUUCCGAAAGCCCAUCAGCAUGGAGUUUCUUCAUGCGCUUUAUACCAAUAUGACCUAAACGGCAGUGCCACAAAUAAGUUGCACUAUCAUUAUUAACUUUGCAUCUUUUGGUUUCAAUAUUAUGAAUAUGUGUAUCACUACGAUUGAGAUCCAACGAACUUGUUUCAUUGGUGUAUGACCAUCGAAGGUUUUAUUCAUGUAAACAGAACAACAAUUAUUCUCUGACUUUAAUGAAUAACCGUAUUGCAAUAAACAUGAUCAAAUCAUAUUCAUGCUCAACGCAAAAACCAAAUAACACUUAUUUAAGUUCAACACUAAUCCCGAAAGUAUAGGGGAGUGUGCGAUGAUGAUCAUAUCAAUCUUGGAACUACUUCCAACACACAUCGUCACUUCACCCUUAACUAGUCUCUGUUUAUUCUGCAACUCCUAUUUCGAGUUACUACUCUUAGCAACUGAACCAAUAUCAAAUACUGAGGGGUUGCUAUAAACACUAGUAAAGCACACAUCAAUAACAUGUAUAUCAAAUAUACUUUUGUUCACUUUGCCAUCCUUCUUAUCCGCCAAAUACUUGGGGCAGUUCCGCUUCCAGUGACCAGUCCCUUUGCAGUAGAAGCACUUAGUCUCAGGCUUAGGACCAGACUUGGGCUUCUUCACUUGAGCAGCAACUUGCUUGCCGUUCUUUUUGAAGUUCCCUUCUUCCCUUUUGCACUUUUCUUCAAACUAGUGGUCUUGUCAACCAUCAACACUUGAUGUUUUUCUUGAUUUCUACCUUCAUCGAUUUCAGCAUCACGAAGAGCUUGGGAAUCGUUUCCGUUAUCCCUUGCAUAUCAUAGUUCAUCACGAAGUUCUACUAACUUGGUGAUGGUGACUAGAGAAUUCUGUCAAUCACUAUCUUAUCUGGAAGAUUAACUCCCACUUGAUUCAAGCGAUUGUAGUACCCAGACAAUCUGAGCACAUGCUCACUAGUUGAGCGAUUCUCCUUCAUCUUUUAGCUAUAGAACUUGUUGGAGACUUCAUAUCUCUCAACUCGGGUAUUUGCUUGAAAUAUUAACUUCAACUCCUGGAACAUCUCAUAUGGUCCAUGACGUUCAAAACGUCUUUGAAGUCCCGAUUCUAAGCCAUUAAGCAUGGUGCACUAAACUAUCAAGUAGUCAUCAUAUUGAGCUAGCCAAACGUUCAUAACGUCUGCAUCUGCUCCUGCAAUAGGUUUGUCACCUAGCGGUGCAUCAAGGACAUAAUUUUUCUGUGCAGCAAUGAGGAUAAACCUCAGAUCACGGAUCCAAUCCGUAUCAUUGCUACUAACAUCUUUCAACACAAUUUUCUCUAGGAACAUAUCAAAAUAAACAUAUGAAAGCAACAACGCGAGCUGUUGAUCUUCAACAUAGAUAUGCUAAUACUACCAGGACUAAGUUCAUGAUAAAUUAAAGUUCAAUUAAUCAUAUUACUUAAGAACUCCCACUUAGAUAGACAUCCCUCUAAUCCUCUAAGUGAUCACGUGAUCCAAAUCAACUAAACCAUAACCGAUCAUCACGUGAGAUGGAGUAUUUUUCAAUGGUGAACAUCGUUAUGUUGAUCAUAUCUACUAUAUGAUUCACGCUCGACCUUUCGGUCUCUGUGUUCCGAGGCCAUAUCUGCAUAUGCUAGGCUCGUCAAGUUUAACCUGAGUAUUCUGCGUGUGCAAAACUGGCUUGCACCCGUUGUAGAUGGACGUAGAGCUUAUCACACCCGAUCAUCACGUGGUGUCUGGGCACGACGAACUUUGGCAACGGUGCAUACUUAGGGAGAACACUUCAUGAUAAUUUAGUGAGCGAUCAUCUUAUAAUGCUACCGUCAAUCAAAGCAAGAUAAGAUGCAUAAAAGGAUAAACAUCACAUGCAAUCAAUAUAAGUGAUAUGAUAUGGCCAUCAUCAUCUUGUGCUUGUGAUCUCCAUCUCCGAAGCACCGUCAUGAUCACCAUCGUCACCGACGCGACACCUUGAUCUCCAUCGUAGCAUCGUUGUCGUCUCGCCAAUCUUAUGCUUCCACGACUAUCACUACCGCUUAGUAAUAAAGUAAAGCAUUACAUCGCGAUUGCAUUGCAUACAAUAAAGCGACAACCAUAUGGCUCCUGCCAGUUGCCGAUAACUUGGUUACAAAACAUGAUCAUCUCAUACAAUAAAAUCAGCAUCAUGCCUUGACCAUAUCACAUCACAACAUGCCCUGCAAAAACAAGUUAGACAUCCUCUACUUUGUUGUUGCAAGUUUUACGUGACUGCUACGGGCUUAAGUAAGAAGUCAUCUCACCUACGCAUCAAAACCACAACGAUAGUUCGUCAAAUAGACUCCGUUUUAACCUUCUCAAGGACCGGGCGUAGCCAUACUCGGUUCAACUAAAGUUGGAGAGACAGUCGCCCGCAAGCCAUCUAUGUGCUAAGCACGUCGAGGGAAUCGGUCUCGCGUAAGCGUACGCGUAAGGUUGGUCCGGGUCGUCUCGUCCAACAAUACCGCCGAACCAAAGUAUGACAUGCUGGUAGGCAGUAUGACUUGUAUCGCCCACAACUCACUUGUGUUCUACUCGUGCAAAUAACAUCAAACCAUAAAACCUAGGCUCGGAUGCCACUGUUGGGGAACGUAGUAAUUUCAAAACAUUUCUUACGCACACGCAAGAUCAUGGUGAUGCAUAGCAACGAGAGGGGAGAUUGUUGUCUACGUACCAACGCAGACCGACUGCGGAAGCGAUCACACAACAUAGAGGAAGUAGUCGUACGUCUUCUUUCCGAUCCGACCGAUCCAAGCACCGUUACUCCGGCACCUCCGAGUUCUUAGCACACGUACAGCUCGAUGACGAUCCCCGGGCAUCGAUCCAGCAAAGCUUUGGGGAGGAGUUCCGUCAGCACGACGGCGUGGUGACGAUCUUGAUGUUCUACCGACGCAGGGCUUCGCCUAAGCACUACAACGGUAUGACCGAGGUGGAAUAUGGUGGCAGGGGCAUCGCACACGGCUAAGGGACGAUCUCAAGGAUCAACUUGUGUGUCUAUGGGGUGCCCCUUGCCUCAGUAUAUAAAGGAUGGAGGAGGAGGAGGCCGGCCAAGGCAUAAGGUGCGGCCAGGAUGGGAGUCCUACUAGGACUCCAAGUCCUAGUAGGAGUCCAUCAAGAGGGGAGGAAGGGAGAAGGAAGUGGAGGAGUAGGAAAGGUGGCCGGCCCCUUUUCCCUAGUCCAAUUCGGACUAGAGGGGAGGGGGGCGCAGCAGGCCUUUUCUCCUCUUCCCACUAAAGCCCAUCAAGGCCCAAUACUUCUCCCAGCGAAUUCCCGUAACUCUCCGGUAGUCCGAAAAAUACCCGAAUCACUCGGAACCUUUCCGAAGUCCGAAUAUAGUCGUCCAAUAUAUCGAUCUUUACGUCUCGACCAUUUCGAGACUCCUCGUCAUGUCCCCGAUCUCAUCCGGGACUCCGAACUCCUUCGGUACAUCAAAACUCAUAAACUCAUAAUAUAACUGUCAUCGAAACCUUAAGCGUGCGGACCCUACGGUUCGAGAACAAUGUAGACAUGACCGAGACACGUCUCCGGUCAAUAACCAAUAGCGGGACCUGGAUGCCCAUAUUGGCUCCUACAUAUUCUACGAAGAUCUUUAUCGGUCAAACCGCAUAACAACAUACGUUGUUCCCUUUGUCAUAGGUAUGUUACUUGCCCGAGAUUCAAUCGUCGGUAUCCAAUACCUAGUUCAAUCUCGUUACCGGCAAGUCUCUUUACUCGUUCCGUAAUACAUCAUCUUGCAACUAACUCAUUAAUUGCAAUGCUUGCAAGGCUUAUGUGAUGUGCAUUACCGAGAGGGCCUAGAGAUACCUCUCCGACAAUCGGAGUGACAAAUCCUAAUCUCGAAAUACGCCAACCCAACAUCGACCUUUGGAGACACCUGUAAUGCUCCUUUAUAAUCACCCAGUUACGUUGUGACGUUUGGUAGCAGCCAAAGUGUUCCUCCGGCAAACGGGAGUUGCAUAAUCUCAUAGUCAUAGGAACAUGUAUAAGUCAUGAAGAAAGCAAUAGCAACAUACUAAACGAUCGUGUGCUAAGCUAAUGGAAUGGGUCAUGUCAAUCAGAUCAUUCAACUAAUGAUGUGAUCUCGUUAAUCAAAUAACAACUCUUUUGUCCAUGGUUAGGAAACAUAAUCAUCUUUGAUUAACGAGCUAGUCAAGUAGAGGCAUACUAGUGACACUCUGUUUGUCUAUGUAUUCACACAUGUAUUAUGUUUCCGGUUAAUACAAUUUUAGCAUGAAUAAUAAACAUUUAUCAUGAUAUAAGGAAAUAAAUAAUAACUUUAUUAUUGCCUCUAGGGCAUAUUUCCUUCAGUCAUCAUAUUGAGCUAGCCAAACGUUCAUAACGUCUACAUCUGCUCCUGCAAUAGGUCUGUCACCUAGCGGUGCAUCAAGGACAUAAUUCUUCUGUGCGGCAAUGAGGAUAAACCUCAGAUCACGGAUCCAAUCUGCAUCAUUGCUACUAACAUCUUUCAACACAAUUUCCUCUAGGAACAUAUCAAAACAAACACAGGGAAGUAACAACGCGAGCUAUCGAUCUACAACAUAAUUUGCAAAAUACUACCAGGACUAAGUUCAUGAUAAAUUUAAGUUCAAUUUAAUCAUAUUACUUUAAGAACUCCCACUUAGAUAGACAUCCCUCUAAUCCUCUAAGUGAUCACGUGAUCCAAAUUAACUAAACCAUAACCGAUCAUCACGUGAGAUGGAGUAGUUUUCAAUGGUGAACAUCGUUAUGUUGAUCAUAUCUACUAUAUGAUUCACGCUCGACCUUUCGGUCUCCGUGUUCCGAGGCCAUAUCUGUGAAGGAAAUAUGCCCUAGAGGCAAUAAUAAAGUUAUUAUUUAUUUCCUUAUAUCAUGAUAAAUGUUUAUUAUUCAUGCUAGAAUUGUAUUAACCGGAAACAUAAUACAUGUGUGAAUACAUAGACCAACAUAGUGUCACUAGUAUGCCUCUACUUGACUAGCUCGUUAAUCAAAGAUGGUUAUGUUUCCUAACCAUGAACAAAGAGUUGUUAUUUGAUUAACGAGGUCACAUCAUUAGUUGAAUGAUCUGAUUGACAUGACCCAUUCCAUUAGCUUAGCACCCGAUCGUUUAGUAUGUUGCUAUUGCUUUCUUCAUGACUUAUACAUGUUCCUAUAACUAUGAGAUUAUGCAACUCCCGUUUACCGGAGGAACACUUUGGGUACUACCAAACGUCACAACGUAACUGGGUGAUUAUAAAGGAGUACUACAGGUGUCUCCAAUGGUAGAUGUUGGGUUGGCGUAUUUCGAGAUUAGGGUUUGUCACUCCGAUUGUCGGAGAGGUAUCUCUGGGCCCUCUCGGUAAUGCACAUCACAUAAGCCUUGCAAGCACUGCAACUAAUAUGUUAGUUGUGAGAUGAUGUAUUACGGAACGAGUAAAGAGACUUGCCAGUAACGAGAUUGAACUAGGUAUUGGAUACCGACGAUCGAAUCUCGGGCAAGUAACAUACCGAUGACAAAGGGAACAACGUAUGUUGUUAUGCGGUCUGACCGAUAAAGAUCUUCGUAGAAUAUGUAGGAGCCAAUAUGGGCAUCCAGGUCCCGCUAUUGGUUAUUGACCGGAGACGUGUCUCGGUCAUGUCUACAUUGUUCUCGAACCGUAGGGUCCGCACGCUUAACGUUACGAUGACAGUUAUUAUGAGUUUAUGCAUUUUGAUGUACCGAAGGUUGUUCGGAGUCCCAGAUGAGAUCACAGACUUGACGAGGAGUCUCGAAAUGGUCGAGACGUAAAGAUUGAUAUAUUGGAAGCCUAUGUUUGGACAUAGGAAGUGUUCCGGGUGAAAUCGGGAUUUUACCGGAAUACCGGGAGGGUUACCGGAACCCCCCGGGAGACUAAUGGGCCUAUUGGGCCUUAGUGGAAAAAGAGAAAAGGGGCAACCCAUAGCUGGCCGGCGCCCCCCCUUUCCCCAAGUCCUAGUAGGACUAGGAUAAGGGGCCGGCCCCCCCUUCUCUCUCCUUUUCCCCGAGAGUCCUAAUUGGAAUAGGAUUGGAGGGGGGAGUCCUACUCCCGGUGGGAGUAGGACUCCCCCUGCGCCUCCCUCUCCCUGGCCGGCCGCCCCCCCUCCUCCAACCUUUAUAUACGGGGGCAGGGGACACCCCAAGACACACAAGUUGAUCCUUGAGAUCGUUCCUUAGCCGUGUGCGGUGCCCCCUGCCACCAAAUUCCACCUCGAUCAUACCGUUACAGUGCUUAGGCGAAGCCCUGCGUCGGUAGUACAUCAAGAUCGUCACCACGCCGUCGUGCUGACGGAACUCUUCCUCGACGCUUUGCUGGAUCGGAGCCCGAGGAACGUCAUCGAGCUGAACGUGUGCUAAGAACUCGGAGGUGCCGGAGUAACGGUGCUUGGAUCGGUCGGAUCGGAAAGAAGACGUACGACUACUUCCUCUACGUUGUGUGAUCACUUCCGCAGUCGGUCUGCGUUGGUACGUAGACAACACUCUCCCCUCUCGUUGCUGUGCAUCACCAUGAUCUUGUGUGUGCGUAGGAAAAUUUUCGAAAUUACUGCGUUCCCCAACAAUCUGCAUAUGCUAGGCUCGUCAAGUUUAACCUGAGUAUUCUGCGUGUGCAAAAACUGGCUUGCACCCGUUGUAGAUGGACGUAGAGCUUAUCACACUCUAUCAUCACGUGGUGUCUGGGCACGAUGAACUUUGGCAACGGUGCAUACUCAGGGAGAACACUUCUUGAUAAUUUAGUGAGAGAUCAUCUUAUAAUGCUACCGUCAAUCAAAGCAAGAUAAGAUGCAUAAAAAAGAUAAACAUCACAUGCAAUCAAUUCAAUAUAAGUGAUAUGAUAUGGCCAUCAUAUUCUUGUGCUUGUGAUCUCCAUCUCCGAAGCACCGUCAUGAUCACCAUCGUCACCGGCGCGACACCUUGAUCUCCAUCGUAGCAUCGUUGUCGUCUUGCCAAUCUUAUGCUUCCACGACUAUCGCUACCGCUUAGUGAUAAAGUAAAGCAUUACAUCGCGAUUGCAUUGCAUACAAUAAAACGACAACCAUAUGGCUCCUGCCAGUUGCCGAUAACUCGGUUACAAAACAUGAUCAUCUCAUACAAUAAAAUUUAGCAUCAUGUCUUGACCAUAUCACAUCACAACAUGCCCUGCAAAAACAAGUUAGACGUCCUCUACUUUGUUGUUGCAAGUUUUACGUGGCUGCUACGGGCUUAAGCAAGAACCAAUCUCAGCUACGCAUCAAAACCACAAUGAUAGUUUGUCAAAUAGACUCCGUUUUAACCUUCGCAAGGACCGGGCGUAGCCACACUUGGUUCAACUAAAGUUGGAGAAACAGUCACCCGCAAGCCACCUUUGUGCAAAGCACGUCGGGAGAACCGGUCUCGCGUAAGCGUACGCGUAAUGUCGGUCCGGGCCGCUUCAUCCAACAAUACCGCCGAACCAAAGUAUGACAUGCUGGUAGGCAGUAUGACUUAUAUCGCCCACAACUCACUUGUGUUCUACUCGUGCAUAUAACAUCAAACCAUAAAACCUAGGCUCUGAUACCACUGUUGGGGAACGUAGUAAUUUCAAAAAAUUUCCUACGCACACGCAAGAUCAUGGUGAUGCAUAGCAACGAGGGGGAGAGUCUGAUCUACGUACCCUUGUAGAUCGCAACGGAAGCGUUGACACAACGUAGAGGAAGUAGUCGUACGACUUCUUCCCGAUCCGACCGAUCCAAGCACCAUUACUCCGGCACCUCCAAGUUCUUAGCACACGUACAGCUCGAUGACGAUCCCCGGGCUCCGAUCCAGCAAAGCUCCGGGGAGGAGUUCCGUCAGCACGACGGCGUGGUGACGAUCUUAAUGUACUACCGACGCAGGGCUGCGCCUAAGCACUACAACGGUAUUAUCGAGGUGGAAUAUGGUGGCAGGGGGCACCGCACACGGUUAGGAACGAUCUCAAUGAUCAACUUGUGUGUCUAUGGGGUGCCCCCUGCCCCCGUAUAUAAAGGAGCAAGGGAGGAGGGGCGGCCGGCCUAGGAGUGGGCGCGCCAAGGGGAGUCCUACUCCCACCGGGAGUAGGACUCCUUCUUUCCUUGUCCAACUAGGAGAAGGGGGGAAUGGAGGGAAGUGGAGAAGGAAGGGAGAGGUGGGCCGCGCCCCAAAUCCCUUGUCCAAUUCAGACUAGGCUUGGGAGGGGCGCGCGCCACCUCCUGGCUCCUUCCCACUAAAGCCCAUUAAGGCCCAAUACUCUUCCCCGUAUUCCCGUAACUCCCCGGUACCUCCGAAAAUACCCGAAUCACUCGGAACCUUUCCGAUGUCUGAAUUGUAACACCCUCGAUGCGACUAUAUCUCCCACGUGUCGAGGCACGACUUAGAGGCAUAAUCGCAUUGAAGGCAAUGUCGCAAGUGAGGUAAUCUUCACACAACCCAUGUAAUACAAUAGGGGAAAAAGUUACAUAGUUGGCUUACAAUCGCCACUUCACACAAUUACAUGAAUAAAGCAUUACAUCAUUCAAAUACACUCAAGGUCCGACUACGGAACCAAAAUAAAAGAAGAACCCCAAAUGCGACAAAGGUCCCCGAUCGACCCCAACUGGGCACCACUACUGAUCAACUAGAACGAAACAACAUAAAGGACAAGAUCUUCAACGAGCUCCUCCUGAGCUUGGUUGCGUCAUCUGCACGGACUCAUCGGCACCUGCAAACUGGUUUUGGAAGUAAUCUGUGAGCCAUGGGGACUCAGCAAUCUCGCACCCUCGCGAUCAAGACUAUUUAAGCUUAUGGGUAAGGUAAAGGUAUGAGGUGGAGCUGCAGCAAGCGACUAGCAUAUAUGGUGGCUAACAUACGCAAAUGAGAGCGAGAAGAGAAGGCAAGGCACGGUCGAUAAAGUAUGAUCAAGAAGUGAUCAUGGACUACCUACGUCAAGCAUAACUCCAACAACCGUGUUCACUUCCCGGACUCCGCCGGAAAGAGACCAUCACGGUUACACACGCGGUUGAUUCAUUUUAAUUAAGGUCGACUUCAGGUUUUCUACAACCGGACGUUAACAAAUUCCCAUCUGCCCAUAACCGCGAGCACGGCUUUCGAAAGAUCAAAUCCCUGCAGGGGUGUCCCAACUUAGCCCAUUACAAGCUCUCACGGACAACGAAGGAAUAGACCUCCACCCGAGACAUUCCGAUCAGACUCGGUAUCCCAGUACAACAAGACAUUUCGACAGGGUAAAACUAAACCAGCAACACCACCCGAAUGUGCCAACAAAUCCCGAUAGGAGCUGCACAUAUCUCUUUCUCAGGGCACACCGGAUCGUCCAAACUUCCGGUAGGCCAGCCCAGAGUUGCCCCUGGUGGCCACCGGCGGCUGACAGUUUGGACCAACACUCAGAGGAGCACUGGCCCGGGGGGGGGGGGUAAAUAAUGAUGACCCUUGAGUCUGCAGUACCCAAGGGAAAGAAAAAGGCUAGGUGGCAAAUGGUAAAACCAAUGUUGGGCAUUGCUGGAGAAGCUUUACUUAAGGCGAACUUGUAACACCCUCGAUGCGACUAUAUCUCCCACGUGUCGAGGCACGAUUUUGAGGCAUAAUCGCAUUGAAGGCAUAUGUCACAAGUGAGGUAAUCUUCACACAACCCAUGUAAUAUAACAAGGGAAAGAGAUACAUAGUUGGCUUACAACCGCCACUUCACACAAUUACAUGAAUAAAGCAUUACAUCAAUCAAGUACACUCAUGGUCCGACUACGGAACCAAAAUAAAAGAAGAACCCCAAAUGCGACAACGGUCCCCGAUCGACCCCAACUGGGCUCCACUACUGAUCAACUAGCACGAAACAACACAAAGGACAAGAUCUUCAUUGAGCUCCUCCUGAGCUUGGUAGCGUCAUCUGCUCGGUCUCAUCGGCACCUGCAAGCUGGUUUUGGAAGUAUCUGUGAGCCACAGGGACUCAGCAAUCUCGCACCCUCGCGAUCAAGACUAUUUAAGCUUAUGGGUAAGGCAAAGGUAUGAGGUGGAGCUGCAGCAAGCGACUAGCAUAUAUGGUGGCUAACAUACGCAAAUGAGAGCGAGAAGAGAAGGCAAAGCACGGUCGAUAAAAGUACGAUCAAGAAGUGAUCCUGGACUACCUACGUCAAGCAUAACUCCAACAACCGUGUUCACUUCCCGGACUCCGCCGGAAAGAGACCAUCACGGUUACACACGCGGUUGAUUCAUUUUAAUUAAGGUUGACUUUAGGUUUUCUACAACCGGACGUUAACAAAUUCCCAUCUGCCCAUAACCGCGGGCACGGCUUUCGAAAGAUCAAAUCCCUGCAGGGGUGUCCCAACUUAGCCCAUAACAAGCUCUCACGGUCAACGAAGGAAUAGACCUCCACCCGAGACAUUCCGAUCAGACUCGGUAUCCCAGUACAACAAGACAUUUCGACAGGGUAAAACUAAACCAGCAACACCGCCCGAUGCGCCGACAUCCUGAUGGGAGCUGCACAUAUCUCGUUCUCAGGGAAACACCGGAUGAGACAUCCUACGAGUAAAACCAGCCCUCAAGUUUCCCCGAGGUGGCCCUGUAGUCUACUCAGUUCGGANNNNNNNNNNNNNNNNNNNNNNNNNNNNNNNNNNNNNNNNNNNNNNNNNNNNNNNNNNNNNNNNNNNNNNNNNNNNNNNNNNNNNNNNNNNNNNNNNNNNNNNNNNNNNNNNNNNNNNNNNNNNNNNNNNNNNNNNNNNNNNNNNNNNNNNNNNNNNNNNNNNNNNNNNNNNNNNNNNNNNNNNNNNNNNNNNNNNNNNNNNNNNNNNNNNNNNNNNNNNNNNNNNNNNNNNNNNNNNNNNNNAAAGAGGCUAGGUGGCGAAUGGUAAAACCAAUGUUGGGCAUUGCUGGAGAAGCUUUACUUAAGGCGAACUGUCAAGGGGUUCCCAUUAUAGCCCAACCGCGUAAGGGACGCAAAAUCCGGGAACAUAACACCGAUAUGACGGAAACUAGGGCGGCAAGAGUGGAACAAAACACCAGGCAUAAGGCCGAGCCUUCCACCCUUUACCAAGUAUAUAGAUGCAUUAAAUAAAUAAGAUAUAUAGUGAUAUCCCAACAAGUAAAAAAAUGUCCCAACAAGGAACAACAUCUCCAUGUUCCAACAAGGAACAAGCUUCAAUCUUCACCUGCAACUAACAACGCUAUAAGAGGGGCUGAGCAAAGCGGUAACAUAGCCAAUCAACGGUUUGCUAGGACAAAGGUGGGUUAGAGGCUGGACAUGGCAAUUGGGAGGCUGACAAGCAAGUGGUAGGCAUCAUAGCAAUGGCAUAGCAAAAGAGCGAGCAUCUAGCAAAGCAAAGAUAGAAGUGAUUUCGAGGGUAUGAUCAUCUUGCCUGAAAAUCCCGCAAGGAAGAAGAACGAGUCCAUGAAGAAGACAAACGGGCGAAGUCGAACGGAUCCUCACAAACUCGACGUUAUCGGAACCAACCCGAAGAAGCAAACACCGGAAAAGAGCAAACAACAUAGUAAACAACCAACACAUCAACAUGGCAUGAUGCACAAUCGAGUAUGAUGCAUGUCCGGCUUAAAGGGGGCAUGGCAUGGCAAAAUGCACAAACAAUCCUACAAAUUAAGUGGAGCUCAAUAUGCAACGAGUUGCAUAUUGACGAAACACCACAUCAACUAUUUAGUUCGAUCUCGUUAUGUACCCCAACAAUAUUAAAUGUUGAUUAACAUGGCAAGAGGUGAAGCAAAAGAAAACUACCUAUCUAGUCAAGGUUAAAUGAGGCCGGAAGCAACGAACAACAAUUCCGGUAAAUCCCCAUAGCAUAUUUUAGAUUUGGUACUGAUCUGUCCUAAACACAAUUUUAGAGUUAUUAAACAUGCAAAUAAAGGUCACCAUGAUAAACUAGGCAAAAUUCCACCCCAUUUACAUAUAAAGUUUAUUUAAUUCGGAGCUACGGUUAUUUAGUUAUGAAUAAAAUCAUGUUAGCAUGGCAUAGGAGCAAAUUAAUGCAAACAACAUUUUUAAACAUUUUUAAUUGUUGUUAUCAUGAUGCGGAUGACAUGAACAAGUUUAUGCAAAUUUUAUUAAAAGUUGAUAAGAUCAUUAUGAAGCAUUUGUCACCGUGGUGGAAAGAAGAGGGAUGCCACGGUAACGAAUCCGAAAAUGAUGCCAUGGCAACAUAUCGGUUCUGGUAACUCGAUUGAGAUCCCGGUGCAAAAGAAAAUGCGACGGGAGCGUGACACGCAAUAGGAGGUGGGGUGAUCCCGGAUACCGGGUUCCCACAAGAUGGUGGCAAGGCAAAAGAGGGGCAACGUGCACCGAACAACUCCGACACGGAGCAAACACGAGCAUUUCAUACAUCACACAUGCAUUCAUUCACGGCGGUCGUCCCGGGGUUAUACCUUCGAAGCGAGCAUACUCGGAGGGGUUCGGGUUCGUAGAGGAAGUAGGCGUUCUCGCGACGGCGGUAGUAGUUGUUCACGGGGUCGUCGUGGGAAGUAGGGGUACAUGACGACGUAAAGGUACUCGCGACGGUAGUCGUUCACGUUCACGUUACACGGGUCUUCGGCGACGAUUGUCGUACAUGGUUCGGAGUGGUACUUGCGAUGGUAGUGGUACACGUUUCGUAGAUGUUCGAGCGAUAUCGGUAGCGGUACUUGAUGAAUCCCGAAACGGACUUGGCGUCGUCGUGCGUAGGGGUACUUGGCGUUUUCGGAGAUGAUGGUAGAGGAACACGUUUCGAAGGGGUACUUGGGGUCCUCGAACUUGCCGAUCUCGAAGGGGUACUUGACGUCCAAAGCGUUCAUCAGUAGUAGAACUUGGCGGUCUUGACGGUCGUCGUGGUACUUGACGUAAUCCACGCAAACGGUGCCUGUCCAAGCAUCGAUCUUGACGAAGAUGUACUUGACGAGUUACCCGAACGCGUUAGUCCUCGGACUUGGACUCCGGAGAUGGUGUCGUGGUGGUCCUGCAACAAUAGUCUCCGCAAGGGCGUUGGGGAAGGAGAUGGUCGUGACCGAGGACGAAAACAAGGAGCAGCAGCGCGAGGAGGGCCUUGGCGGCGCUGGUCGUCGGCAUCAGGCCGCGUGUGCUCGAGGAGAGGCCGAGGGCGGCUGGAACCGACCAGAGGCGACGCCCUACGGCGCGGGGACGAGGCAGGAGGCGGCUCGGGAGCACGGCGCGGGGACGACGGCUGCAGGCGUGGGCGCGGGCGCUCCUCUCCUCGGGCUCCUGGGCGACGCGGAGAUAGGUGAGGAGGAGGCGCGGCAGGGUGGCUCCGGCCAGGGGCACGGCGCGGGGUGGUUGGCUUGAGUGAGGGGAGAGGGAGAGACCAUGGAUCGGGCGAGAGGAGAGAGGAGCGUGGGCGCGGGCGCUGGUGAUGGGGAUCGAGCGUGAGGAGCUCCUCUCCCUGGCGAAGCGAGGUGGCGACAGAAAAAAAUGGAGGGGGUCGAGGGAGAUGGGGCGCUAGAUCUGGCCUUUGGCGGCGCGAGGGGAGAGGAUGAGGGAGAGAACAAGGGGAUGAGGUCUCCUCGCGCUAGGUUACAGGAGGAGGAGGCCCGGCCUGGUGGGCUGAGAGGAAAAAAUGGGCCGGCCUCGUUGGGCUCCUUCCCUCUCUCUAAUUCUCUUUCACUUCUUUAUUUCUUGAUUUAACAAAUAAACCGAGGAAUAAGAAAUGUAGAGAGAGAUAGGAGAAGAAUUUGAGCAGGGCGCCAAUUUUCUUGGACUCAUAAAAAUGAGGUUGAUCCAAGAAAAAUACAUUUGACACCGUUUGGAAGGAUUGCAUUCGAACACAUUUGAAUGUGAUUCAAAUGAGUUUGAAUUAGGAAAAACAUUUUGGAGAGUCCAAAAAUGUUCGGAAUAUUGGUGGAGCACCGGAAAAUGGAGAAAGGAUAAAAGCAAAGUUUGGGGACCAAACUCGAAGCGAGAAAAGGCAUUGGGAUUUUAUUUUGCAAGUGUGUUCCGGUUAAUUCCAAAAGAAUGGAAUAUUUAUUAUAGCUCCCUAAUAUUGGGAGGAUAUAUUAUAAAGAGAAGUCAUCCUUCCCUCGAUUUAAAUGGAUCGAAGAUCCAUACGAUUUAUUUAGUUGAGAUGCAAAAGACUAUGACAUGAUGACAUGAUGACAUGAUGCAAUGCACAUGAUGACUUUACAUGAUGCAACACGCAAGCACAUGACAACGCAACAACAUCGAAUAACUGCACGACACCUGGCACAUCGGUCUCGGGGCGUUACAACACUCCACCUCUACGAGAGGAUCUCGUCCCGAGAUCUAGAAUGGCACCGGAGGGAAAAGGAAGAGAAAGAGAAGAGGUAAAACAAAUUGCUUCAUUGACAAACGAGUGAAACCACAACCUUGAGAGGUUGAAUACCUUCGAGACAGAAUUCAACGAAGGUGAACAAGGUCGAAAACAGCCAUUUAGAAAAGAGGAAGAAAGCACAUUGCGAAAAACCUUGAGGUUGAAGGGAAGAUAUAUAUUGAAACUACUCCGGUUAAGACAAGAUAGAGAAGGAAUAAGACUUAUAUAAUUUGGACAGCACUCCGGUUGAGAAGGGAUGCAAAAAUUGAUAAGAUGAGAAAGCUCGAAAGAAAACACGACACUCCGGUUGAAUGGAUAAGCAAAGAAAGAAUACUAUCAUGACAAACCAAGAAGAUGGGUUGAAGAGAGCAACAUCACAAGCCUCCGGAACGAAGGGAAACAAGAUCUUGAGAGAGCACGGUUACCACAAAUGCUAGAACGGAGUUGUUGGAAAACCAACAACGAAAAGAAUAAUCUUGAUAUGGUCUUAUAGAAAAAACAUCUCGAAACUAGAGGUGAUAACCUGCCACUCAUGGGAAAAGAAUUGUAUUGAUAUGAACAAGUAGACGAGAAACUAUAUCACCGGGAGGAUAUAUGAAGAACUUGGAUCAUAUACGAGCACAAUUAUCGCAACAAUCCUUAGGGAAGGAUUUAGGUGAAGUAUAACCCAAGAUAAAUCCAUGACGAGAUUGAUGGAUUUAAAAUAUCUCAUUCUUGACAACAUGUGAAUCAUGAAAAAUGAACUCAAAUUAUCAAGAAUGACACAAUACCACCUCCAAUGAUACGGAAGAAAGAAUAAUUACACUCCGGAUUACGAUAUGAAGAAUGCUUGAGCACCUCUGAAAAGAAACUUGAUGAACACUUCAAGAAGGAAUUAAAUCCUUGGUGAACCAUCAUGUAGAACCUCCAUGAAGAACUCCGUUAAACAGAAGAAUGAUCAAACGGAAAGAAAAGGGAAGUUGAAAACACAAGGUGAAACCUUGUAAUGAUUAGAUGGAACUUCGCGACGAGAUAAUGGGGAAAAGCUUGGAACUCCAGAAAAGAAAGAUGAACAAAUGAAAUCAAGAAUUUGAUGAGCCCCCGGAAUAAAGAAUUAAUCACUUGGAUGAACAAGAAUAAGAAUUACAUUAUGCUUAUCCUUCACCAAUUCAAAUUGACGACAACCAAUGGAAUUUGCAUACUACUUAUUCUCGUAGAAAGGAUUAAGAUAGAUAAUGCGCAAACUUGAAGAGGCCUUCAAUGAUCCACCGGUAGGAUUUGAAAGAACGGAAGUAUGAUAACGUAAGAAGAGGAAACUUGAACAAACCACCGUAAGAGUUAAAAUGAACGAAGAAAAGAUAAAGAAACACCGGGAAGAAUUAUAAAAUGAACAGAGAUUGAGAGGAUUUAGAAACAUGAGAACGAAGAGAUCACGAGUCGACUAAAGAUCACUAGAACAAAGGACGGUGAAAAUAGGAGAAUGAUAACUGACAGCUGAGAAUGAAUAAUCCUGAAUUGAUGGACUCCGGAUAACAAAUUGAGAAGACUCUUGCAUUGCUCCGGAUGGGUAAAAGAAUUCUCACGAUCAAAACAAUUAUGAGAGGAUUGCAACAAUCUCGAAUGACAAAACUUGAAGAGAAUGGAGCAAGGUUGAAAGAAGAAUCGUCUUCGGUCUUCCAAACUGAGAAUGACGAUGAGAAAUACCAUCAAGACUUAUUUAGAUACUCCGGAAGAAUCAAAACGAAGAGGUUGAGCCAACGGUGAAAAGAAUUUAACCGAUCUUGGAGAAAGACAUAUGACUGAUGAUAAUUCAUUCUUACGUCAAACUUCAAAAGGGAUUUAGUAUAACUCCGGUGGAAUAAAAAGAGUCAGGUAAGAUCCUGGGAAAGGACCUAUGGGUUAGGGCCCACUCAAAAGAAACACCGUUGAAUGAUUUAAAAGGAGAGAUUGCACUGGUUGAAUAAUAAAAAAAAGGCUUGAAUGAGAUAAGAACCUCGAAAGAGCUUGAACGAAAGUAGAGUGGAAACACGAAUCUUCUGAGAUAUCUUCAGCACUCCGGAACAAAUGAAUAGCGAGAAGUGAAUUAUUAUGAGGAGCACCGGUAUGAGAAAGCAUUGACAUGAGAAAAGGGUAUGAUCAACAAAGCUUGACUUGGAUCCACCGGAGAAGAAAAGAACAAGGAAUGAUAAACUUGAAGCUCCGUUAGAAUAUUCAUGAGAAUCACCGGAUAAGAAUAUUGAUAGAAAAAGAAUCGAGAGACUUGACAUCAAUAAGAAGGAUACUUGAAAAGACAUCUGAGUCCUUGAAGAAAACAAGGGUGGGAGGGUGGGAAAAAAACAAAGGCAACUUGGAGACGGAUGAAACAAACACCGUUGAUAAGAACUAAUAAUUGAUCUUGCGGAAGUUGAAAUGUUCGGAUCCACUAGAAGAGAAGCACACCGGUUAAAAGGAUUGACAAAAACAAUCUUGAUGAACAAGAAGGAUUAGUAUUCACAUCGGAGUAUGAGAACACCAUUUGGGGAAGGUAUGGAAUCAACACUUGACAUUGAAGCAACUCGAAUACCACAACUCAAAACAAAACAAAGGGUUGGCUUGCAAAAUAAGCCGGAACAAACAUAUGAUAGAGAUUUCGUCCGAAGUUUUCGUGGUGGGACCUACACGGGCUCGAUUGUACAGCACCAUCAUGUACAAGGCAGUGCACAUGACAUACGAAGCGUCCCCGAGUCAGCAUAGCCAAGGACUCUUUAAGACCCAACGAGACCACUGUAAAAUCGACCGUGAAUAGGCGAACCACUAGACGUCGAUUGGAGAAGAUAUCCUAAGUCAGCAUAGCCAAGGACUCUUUAAGACCCAAUUUCAUAUCACACAUCUGUCGGAAAGAUAUCCUAAGAGCUACUUGAAUUCCACCUAUGAAACUCCCGAAACUUUCCGGUUAUGCAAUCAGGUGUUGGGGAUACAGGGGAAGCAUAAUAUCUCACCCAAACUAGCAAUACCUACAUCCAGCUGUAUCCAUCCUUCAACACAUAACCAAGACACUACGGUGCAAGUCAUGGCAAGGCAAGCAUAUAUCCAUAAGGAAGGCACAAAAUGCUAGCUAGACAUGGCAAGAACAAUGGCAUAGCAUGCAUGGAUAACUAGCAAUAGCUCCGGCAAAAUCGCAAAAGAGUUCACGAUCUGCCCAAAUUAACAACGAUGCAAAAGUUGAGCUCGAUUGACUCAACCUAGGGUGCUCCAACAUAGCAAGCAAAGACAUGGAUGGAUAGAGCACAACAAGUUUAACAAAUGUCCCUGAAAUCAGCAAUCUCAGGUACCCCUCUUGGCAAGCUUGCAUAAGACACCACACACAUCCUAAAAAUGCAUGGGUGGCACCUCUGGAAAGAAGACAAAAUGCUUAACAAUUCAUCCCAAAGGGUCAUAGGCAUAUCAUGCACACAAUAAUCAUGGCAAAAAUGACAAAAGUCAAUGUUGAGCUAACGGAUCUGCAAUUUAACUCACGAUGCCUCCUUCUAACAGCAUUUUGGGCAUCAAGAUGAACUCAAAUGCAAAUGAUGCAAUGGAAUGAAAUGAUGUACUCAUCGAGACGAAGAUUUUGAUAUAUUAUAUGCCCAAAACGGAGCUACGGAUGCGGAGAUAUGAUCAGACGAACAUGAGCAUAUGGAUCUGGGAAUUCCGGGGACUUAGCCAAAAUUUAUACCUCUCCGGGAAAAGUCAACGGGACGGAGCGGUGCGGGACGGGGUGGAUCCGGAUCGAGAUGACGACAUUUGGAUGAAGGGACCGGUGGAUCUCGUCCCGAUCCAUCGGAUCGGAUCCGGCCGGGAUUUACUCCGGCGAGCUCCGGCGAUGAUGGCGAGGAGCCUCGGUGGCGGAGGCGGGCCGUGCCGCGAAGGGCGGUGGCCGGCAGGGACUCGGCCGGGCGGCGAGCAGGCGCCGGCGAGGNNNNNNNNNNNNNNNNNNNNNNNNNNNNNNNNNNNNNNNNNNNNNNNNNNNNNNNNNNNNNNNNNNNNNNNNNNNNNNNNNNNNNNNNNNNNNNNNNNNNNNNNNNNNNNNNNNNNNNNNNNNNNNNNNNNNNNNNNNNNNNNNNNNNNNNNNNNNNNNNNNNNNNNNNNNNNNNNNNNNNNNNNNNNNNNNNNNNNNNNNNNNNNNNNNNNNNNNNNNNNNNNNNNNNNNNNNNNNNNNNNNNNNNNNNNNNNNNNNNNNNNNNNNCGCGGGCCCGAUCCGGGCCGCGUGGGCCGGCGGCGGGGCUAGAGGAGAGAGAAGGUGGCGGGAUGACGUGGCGGCGGCGGAUUCGCCGGGUACGGCGGUCGGACAUGUCCGGGGCGUGGAGAUUUGUCCGGUGGCGCGAGGUAGGAGAAGCUAGGGUUUCAUCCGCGAUUUUUUUCGGGGAUGCCCACAUAUUUCCUUCGGCAAACGGGAGUUGCAUAAUCUCAUAGUCAUAGGAACAUGUAUAAGUCAUGAAGAAAGUAAUGGCAACAUACUAAACGAUCGGGUGCUAAGCUAAUGGAAUGGGUCAUGUCAAUCAGAUCAUUCAACUAAUGAUGUGACCUCGUUAAUCAAAUAACAACUCUUUGUUCAUGGUUAGGAAACUUAACCAUCUUUGAUUAACGAGCUAGUCUAGUAGAGGCAUACUAGUGACACUCUGUUUGUCUAUGUAUUCACACAUGUAUUAUGUUUCCGGUUAAUUCAAUUCUAGCAUGAAUAAUUGAAGGAAAUAUGCCCUAGAGGCAAUAAUAAAGUUAUUAUUUAUUUCCUUAUAUCAUGAUAAAUGUUUAUUAUUCAUGCUAGAAUUGUAUUAAUCGGAAACAUGAUACAUGUGUGAAUACAUAGACCAACAGAGUGUCACUAGUAUGCCUCUACUUGACUAGCUCGUUAAUCAAAGAUGGUUAUGUUUCCUAACCAUGAACAAAGAGUUGUUAUUUGAUUAACGAGGUCACAUCAUUAGUUGAAUGAUCUGAUUGACAUGACCCAUUCCAUUAGCUUAGCACCCGAUCGUUUAGUAUGUUGCUAUUGCUUUCUUCAUGACUUAUACAUGUUCCUAUAACUAUGAGAUUAUGCAACUCCCGUUUACCGGAGGAACACUUUGGGUACUACCAAACGUCACAACGUAACUGGGUGAUUAUAAAGGAGUACUACAGGUGUCUCCAAUGGUAGAUGUUGGGUUGGCGUAUUUCGAGAUUAGGGUUUGUCACUCCGAUUGUCGGAGAGGUAUCUCUGGGCCCUCUCGGUAAUGCACAUCACAUAAGCCUUGCAAGCACUGCAACUAAUAUGUUAGUUGUGAGAUGAUGUAUUACGGAACGAGUAAAGAGACUUGCCAGUAACGAGAUUGAACUAGGUAUUGGAUACCGACGAUCGAAUCUCGGGCAAGUAACAUACCGAUGACAAAGGGAACAACGUAUGUUGUUAUGCGGUCUGACCGAUAAAGAUCUUCGUAGAAUAUGUAGGAGCCAAUAUGGGCAUCCAGGUCCCGCUAUUGGUUAUUGACCGGAGACGUGUCUCGGUCAUGUCUACAUUGUUCUUGAACCGUAGGGUCCGCACGCUUAACGUUACGAUGACAGUUAUUAUGAGUUUAUGCAUUUUGAUGUACCGAAGGUUGUUCGGAGUCCCAGAUGAGAUCACGGACUUGACGAGGAGUCUCGAAAUGGUCGAGACGUAAAGAUUGAUAUAUUGGAAGCCUAUGUUUGGACAUAGGAAGUGUUCCGGGUGAAAUCGGGAUUUUACCGGAAUACCGGGAGGGUUACCGGAACCCCCCGGGAGACUAAUGGGCCUAUUGGGCCUUAGUGGAAAAAGAGAAAAGGGGCAGCCCAUAGCUGGCCGGCGCCCCCCCUUUCCCCAAGUCCUAGUAGGACUAGGAUAAGGGGCCGGCCCCCCCCUUCUCUCUCCUUUUCCCCGAGAGUCCUAAUUGGAAUAGGAUUGGAGGGGGGAGUCCUACUCCCGAUGGGAGUAGGACUCCCCCUGCGCCUCCCUCUCCCUGGCCGGCCGGCCCCCCCUCCUCCAACCUUUAUAUACGGGGGGAGGGGACACCCCAAGACACACAAGUUGAUCCUUGAGAUCGUUCCUUAGCCGUGUGCGGUGCCCCCUGCCACCAAAUUCCACCUCGAUCAUACCGUUACAGUGCUUAGGCGAAGCCCUGUGUCGGUAGUACAUCAAGAUCGUCACCACGCCGUCGUGCUGACAGAACUCUUCCUCGACGCUUUGCUGGAUCGGAGCCCGAGGAACGUCAUCGAGCUGAACGUGUGCUAAGAACUCGGAGGUGCCGGAGUAACGGUGCUUGGAUCGGUCGGAUCGGAAAGAAGACGUACGACUACUUCCUCUACGUUGUGUGAUCACUUCCGCAGUCGGUCUGCAUUGGUACGUAGACAACACUCUCCCCUCUCGUUGCUGUGCAUCACCAUGAUCUUGCGUGUGCGUAGGAAAUUUUUCGAAAUUACUGCGUUCCCCAACAUUGGCAUCCGAGCCUAGGUUUUAUGGUUUGAUGUUAUUUGCACGAGUAGAACACAAGUGAGUUGUGGGCGAUACAAGUCAUACUGCCUACCAGCAUGUCAUACUUUGGUUCGGCGGUAUUGUUGGGUGAGACGAUCCGGACCAACCUUACACGUACUCUUACGCGAGACCGGUUCCCUCGACGUGCUUUGCACAUAGAUGGCUUGCGGAAGACUGUCUCUCCAACUUUAGUUGAACCAAGUGUGACUACGCCCGGUCCUUGAGAAGGUUAAAACGGAGUCUAUUUGACGAACUAUCGUUGUGGUUUUGAUGCAUAGGUGAGAUGAGUUCUUACUUAAGCCCGUAGCAGCCACGUAAAACUUGCAACAACAAAGUAGAGGACGUCUAACUUGUUUUUGCAGGGCAUGUUGUGAUGUGAUAUGGUCAAGGCAUGAUGCUGAUUUUAUUGUAUGAGAUGAUCAUGUUUUGUAACCGAGUUAUCGGCAACUGGCAGGAGCCAUAUGGUUGUCGCUUUAUUGUAUGCAAUGCAAUCGCGAUGUAAUGCUUUACUUUAUUACUAAACGGUAGUGAUAGUCGUGGAAGCAUAAGAUUGGCGAGACGACAACGAUGCUACGAUGGAGAUCAAGGUGUCGCGCCGGUGAUGAUGGUGAUCAUGACGGUGCUUCGGAGAUGGAGAUCACAAGCACAAGAUGAUGAUGGCCAUAUCAUAUCACUUAUAUUGAUUGCAUGUGAUGUUUAUCCCUUUUUAUGCAUCUUAUCUUGCUUUGAUUGACGGUAGCAUUAUAAGAUGAUCUCUCACUAAAAAUUAUCAAGAAGUGUUCUCCCUGAGUAUGCACCGUUGCCAAAGUUCGUCGUGCCCAGACACCACGUGAUGAUCGGGUGUGAUAAGCUCUACGUCCAAAUACAACGGGUGCAAAACAGUUGCACACGCAGAAUACUCAGGUUAUACUUGACGAGCCAAGCAUAUACAGAUAUGGCCUCGGAACACGGAGACCGAAAGGUCGAGCGUGAAUCAUAUAGUAGAUAUGAUCAACAUAACGAUGUUCACCAUUGAAAACUACUCCAUCUCACGUGAUGAUCGGUUAUGGUUUAGUUGAUUUGGAUCACGUGAUCACUUAGAAGAUUAGAGGGAUGUCUAUCUAAGUGGGAGUUCCUAAGUAAUUUGAUUAACUGAACUUAAACUUAUCAUGAACUUAGUACCUGAUAGUAUCUUGCUUGUUUAUGUUGAUUGUAGAUAGAUGGCUCGUGCUAUUGUUCCGUUGAAUUUUAAUGCGUUCCUUGAGAAAGCAAAGUUGAAAGAUGAUGGUAGCAAUUACACGGACUGGGUCCGUAACCUGAGGAUCAUCCUCAUUGCUGCACAGAAGAAUUACGUCCUGGAAGCACCGCUGGGUGACAGGCCUGCUGCUGGAGCAACGCCAGAUGUUAUGAACGUCUGGCAGAGCAAAGCUGAUGACUACUCGAUAGUUCAGUGUGCCAUGCUUUACGGCUUAGAAUCGGGACUUCAACGACGUUUUGAACGUCAUGGAGCAUAUGAGAUGUUCCAGGAGUUGAAGUUAAUAUUUCAAGCAAAUGCCCGAAUUGGGAGAUAUGAAGUCUCCAAUAAGUUCUAUAGCUGCAAGAUGGAGGAGAACAGUUCUGUCAGUGAGCAUAUACUCAAAAUGUCUGGGUAUAAUAAUCACUUGAUUCAGAUGGGAGUUAAUCUUCCAGAUGACUGCGUCAUUGACAGAAUUCUCCAAUCACUGCCACCAAGCUACAAGAGCUUCGUGAUGAACUAUAAUAUGCAAGGGAUGAACAAGACUAUUCCCGAGCUCUUCGCAAUGCUGAAAGCUGCGGAGGUAGAAAUCAAGAAGGAGCAUCAAGUGUUGAUGAUUAGCAAAACCACUAGUUUCAAGAAAAAGGGCAAAGGGAAGAAGAAGGGAAACUUCAAGAAGAACAGCAAGCAAGUUGCUGCUCAGGAGAAGAAACCCAAGUCUGGACCUAAGCCUGAAACUGAGUGCUUCUACUGCAAGCAGACAGGUCACUGGAAGCGGAACUGCCCCAAGUAUUUGGCGGAUAAGAAGGAUGGCAAAGUGAGCAAAGGUAUAUGUGAUAUACAUGUUAUUGAUGUGUACCUUACUAGAGCUCGCAGUAGCACCUGGGUAUUUGAUACUGGUUCUGUUGCUAAUAUUUGCAACUCGAAACAGGGACUACGGAAUAAGCGGACGCUAGCAAAGGACGAGGUGACGAUGCGCGUGGGAAACGGUUCCAAAGUCGAUGUGAUCGCGGUCGGCACGCUACCUCUACAUCUACCUUCGGGAUUAAUAUUAGACCUAAAUAAUUGUUAUUUGGUGCCAGCGUUGAGCAUGAACAUUAUAUCUGGAUCUUGUUUAAUGCGAGACGGUUAUUCAUUUAAAUCAGAGAAUAAUGGUUGUUCUAUUUAUAUGAGUAAUAUCUUUUAUGGUCAUGCACCUUUGAAGAGUGGUCUAUUCUUGUUGAAUCUCGAAGAUAGUGAUACACAUAUUCAUAAUGUAGAAGCCAAAAGAUGCAAAGUUAAUAAUGAUAGUGCAACUUAUUUGUGGCACUGCCGUUUAGGUCAUAUCGGUGUAAAACGCAUGAAGAAACUCCAUACUGAUGGGCUUUUGGAACCACUUGAUUAUGAAUCACUUGGGACUUGCGAACCGUGCCUCAUAGGCAAGAUGACUAAAACACCGUUCUCCAGUACUAUGGAGAGAGCAACAGAUUUAUUGGAAAUCAUACAUACCGAUGUAUGUGGUCCGAUGAAUAUUGAGGCUCGUGGCGGAUAUCGUUAUUUUCUCACCUUCACAGAUGAUUUAAGCAGAUAUGGGUAUAUCUACUUAAUGAAACAUAAGUCUGAAACAUUUGAAAAGUUCAAAGAAUUUCAGAGUGAGGUUGAAAAUCAUCGUAACAAGAAAAUAAAGUUUCUACGAUCUGAUCGUGGAGGAGAAUAUUUGAGUUACGAGUUUGGUGUACAUUUGAACAAUUGUGGAAUAGUGUCGCAACUCACGCCACCCGGAACACCACAACGUAAUGGUGUGUCCGAACGUCGUAAUCGUACUUUACUAGAUAUGGUGCGAUCUAUGAUGUCUCUUACUGAUUUACCGCUAUCGUUUUGGGGUUAUGCUUUAGAGACGGCCGCAUUCACGUUAAACAGGGCACCAUCAAAAUCCAUUGAGACGACACCUUAUAAACUAUGGUUUGGCAAGAAACCAAAGUUGUCGUUUCUUAAAGUUUGGGGCUGCGAUGCUUAUGUGAAAAAGCUUCAACCUGAUAAGCUCGAACCCAAAUCGGAGAAAUGUGUCUUCAUAGGAUAUCCAAAGGAAACUAUUGGAUACACCUUCUAUCACAGAUCCGAAGGCAAGACUUUUGUUGCUAAAUUCGGAAACUUUCUAGAGAAGGAGUUUCUCUCGAAAGAAGUGAGUGGGAGGAAAGUAGAACUUGACGAGGUAACUGUACCUGCUCCCUUAUUGGAAAAUAGUACAUCACAGAAAACUGUUUCUGCGACACCUAUACCAAUCAGUGAGGAAGCUAAUGAUGAUGAUCAUGAAGCCUCAGAACAAGAUACUACUGAAACACGUAGAUCAACCAGAGUGAGAUCCGCACCAGAGUGGUACGGUAAUCCAGUUCUGGAAGUCAUGAUGCUAGAUCAUGAUGAACCUACGAACUAUGAAGAAGCGAUGGUGAGCCCAGAUUCCGCAAAGUGGCUUGAGGCCAUGAAAUCUGAGAUGGGAUCCAUGUAUGAAAACAAAGUAUGGACUUUGGUUGACUUGCCCGAUGAUCGGCAAGCAAUUGAGAAUAAAUGGAUCUUCAAGAAAAAGACUGACGCCGACGGUAACAUUACUGUCUAUAAAGCUCGACUUGUCGCGAAAGGUUUUCGACAAGUUCAAGGAGUUGACUACGAUGAGACCUUCUCACCCGUAGCGAUGCUUAAGUCCGUCAGAAUUAUGUUAGCAAUUGCCGCAUUUUAUGAUUAUGAAAUAUGGCAGAUGGAUGUCAAAACUGCAUUCCUGAAUGGAUUUCUGGAAGAAGAGUUGUAUAUGAUACAACCAGAAGGUUUUGUCGAUCCAAAGGGAGCUAACAAAGCAUGCAAACUCCAGCGAUCCAUUUAUGGACUGGUGCAAGCAUCUCGGAGUUGGAAUAAACGCUUUGAUAGUGUGAUCAAAGCAUUUGGCUUUAUACAGACUUUUGGAGAAGCCUGUAUUUACAAGAAAGUGAGUGGGAGCUCUGUAGCAUUUCUAAUAUUAUAUGUGGAUGACAUAUUGCUGAUUGGAAAUGAUAUAGAAUUUCUGGAUAGCAUAAAGGGAUACUUGAAUAAAAGUUUUUCGAUGAAAGACCUCGGGGAAGCUGCUUACAUAUUAGGCAUAAAGAUCUAUAGAGAUAGAUCAAAACGCUUAAUUGGACUUUCACAGAGCACAUACCUUGACAAGAUUUUGAAGAAGUUCAAAAUGGAUCAAGCAAAGAAAGGGUUCUUGCCUGUGUUACAAGGUAUGAAGUUGAGUCAGACUCAAUGCCCGACCACUGCAAAAGAUAGAGAGAAAAAGAAAGAUGUUCCCUAUGCUUCAGCCAUAGGCUCUAUCAUGUAUGCAAUGCUGUGUACCAUACCUGAUGUGUGCCUUGCUAUAAGUUUAGCAGGGAGGUACCAAAGUAAUCCAGGAAUGGAUCACUGGACAGCGGUCAAGAACAUCCUGAAAUACCUGAAAAGGACUAAGGAUAUGUUUCUCGUAUAUGGAGGUGACAAAGAGCUCACUGUAAGAGGUUACAUUGAUGCAAGCUUUGACACUGAUCCGGACGAUUCUAAAUCGCAAACCGGAUACAUGCUUACUUUAAACGGUGGAGCUGUCAGUUGGUGCAGUUCUAAACAAAGCGUCGUAGCGGGAUCUACAUGUGAAGCGGAGUACAUAGCUACUUCAGAAGCAGCAAACGAAGGAGUCUGGAUGAAGGAGUUCAUAUCCGAUCUAGGUGUCAUACCUAGUGCAUCGGGUCCAAUGAAAAUCUUCUGUGACAAUACUGGUGCAAUUGCCUUGGCAAAGGAAUCCAGAUUUCACAAAAGGACCAAACACAUCAAGAGACGCUUCAACUCCAUCCGGGAUUUAGUCCAGGUGGGAGACAUAGAGAUUUGCAAGAUACAUACGGAUCUGAACGUUGCAGACCCGUUGACUAAGCCUCUUCCACGAGCAAAACAUGAUCAGCACCAAGGCUCCAUGGGUGUUAGAAUCAUUACAGUGUAAUCUAGAUUAUUGACUGUAGUGCAAGUGGGAGACUGAAGGAAAUAUGCCCUAGAGGCAAUAAUAAAGUUAUUAUUUAUUUCCUUAUAUCAUGAUAAAUGUUUAUUAUUCAUGCUAGAAUUGUAUUAACCGGAAACAUGAUACAUGUGUGAAUACAUAGACCAACAGAGUGUCACUAGUAUGCCUCUACUUGACUAGCUCGUUAAUCAAAGAUGGUUAUGUUUCCUAACCAUGAACAAAGAGUUGUUAUUUGAUUAACGAGGUCACAUCAUUAGUUGAAUGAUCUGAUCGACAUGACCCAUUCCAUUAGCUUAGCACCCGAUCGUUUAGUAUGUUGCUAUUGCUUUCUUCAUGACUUAUACAUGUUCCUAUAACUAUGAGAUUAUGCAACUCCCGUUUACCGGAGGAACACUUUGGGUACUACCAAACGUCACAACGUAACUGGGUGAUUAUAAAGGAGUACUACAGGUGUCUCCAAUGGUAGAUGUUGGGUUGGCGUAUUUCGAGAUUAGGGUUUGUCACUCCGAUUGUCGGAGAGGUAUCUCUGGGCCCUCUCGGUAAUGCACAUCACAUAAGCCUUGCAAGCACUGCAACUAAUAUGUUAGUUGUGAGAUGAUGUAUUACGGAACGAGUAAAGAGACUUGCCAGUAACGAGAUUGAACUAGGUAUUGGAUACCGACGAUCGAAUCUCGGGCAAGUAACAUACCGAUGACAAAGGGAACAACGUAUGUUGUUAUGCGGUCUGACCGAUAAAGAUCUUCGUAGAAUAUGUAGGAGCCAAUAUGGGCAUCCAGGUCCCGCUAUUGGUUAUUGACCGGAGACGUGUCUCGGUCAUGUCUACAUUGUUCUCGAACCGUAGGGUCCGCACGCUUAACGUUACGAUGACAGUUAUUAUGAGUUUAUGCAUUUUGAUGUACCGAAGGUUGUUCGGAGUCCCAGAUGAGAUCACAGACUUGACGAGGAGUCUCGAAAUGGUCGAGACGUAAAGAUUGAUAUAUUGGAAGCCUAUGUUUGGACAUAGGAAGUGUUCCGGGUGAAAUCGGGAUUUUACCGGAAUACCGGGAGGGUUACCGGAACCCCCCGGGAGACUAAUGGGCCUAUUGGGCCUUAGUGGAAAAAGAGAAAAGGGGCANNNNNNNNNNNNNNNNNNNNNNNNNNNNNNNNNNNNNNNNNNNNNNNNNNNNNNNNNNNNNNNNNNNNNNNNNNNNNNNNNNNNNNNNNNNNNNNNNNNNNNNNNNNNNNNNNNNNNNNNNNNNNNNNNNNNNNNNNNNNNNNNNNNNNNNNNNNNNNNNNNNNNNNNNNNNNNNNNNNNNNNNNNNNNNNNNNNNNNNNNNNNNNNNNNNNNNNNNNNNNNNNNNNNNNNNNNNNNNNNNNNNNNNNNNNNNNNNNNNNNNNNNNNNNNNNNNNNNNNNNNNNNNNNNNNNNNNNNNNNNNNNNNNNNNNNNNNNNNNNNNNNNNNNNNNNNNNNNNNNNNNNNNNNNNNNNNNNNNNNNNNNNNNNNNNNNNNNNNNNNNNNNNNNNNNNNNNNNNNNNNNNNNNNNNNNNNNNNNNNNNNNNNNNNNNNNUUUCCCCGAGAGUCCUAAUUGGAAUAGGAUUGGAGGGGGGAGUCCUACUCCCGGUGGGAGUAGGACUCCCCCUGCGCCUCCCUCUCCCUGGCCGGCCGGCCCCCCCUCCUCCAACCUUUAUAUACGGGGGCAAGGGACACCCCAAGACACACAAGUUGAUCCUUGAGAUCGUUCCUUAGCCGUGUGCGGUGCCCCCUGCCACCAAAUUCCACCUCGAUCAUACCGUUACAGUGCUUAGGCGAAGCCCUGCGUCGGUAGUACAUCAAGAUCGUCACCACGCCGUCGUGCUGACGGAACUCUUCCUCGACGCUUUGCUGGAUCGGAGCCCGAGGAACGUCAUCGAGCUGAACAUGUGCUAAGAACUCGGAGGUGCCGGAGUAACGGUGCUUGGAUCGGUCGGAUCGGAAAGAAGACGUACGACUACUUCCUCUACGUUGUGUGAUCGCUUCCGCAGUCAGUCUGCGUUGGUACGUAGACAACACUCUCCCCUCUCGUUGCUGUGCAUCACCAUGAUCUUGAGUGUGCGUAGGAAAAUUUUCGAAAUUACUGCGUUCCCCAACAAUAAUAAACAUUUAUCAUGAUAUAAGGAAAUAAAUAAUAACUUUAUUAUUUCCUCUAGGGCAUAUUUCCUUCAUUCAUCCCAUACCAUUUGAACAGGGCAUGAAUUCUUUUGUAAGUCACAGGAAAACCAGAAUGCCCACCAACUGGAGUAACAUGAAAAGCAUUGCAAAUCUUAGCUUGCAGUUGUACAUCAUUGCCAAUCCAUAUGGAGUUGUUGUACCUGAUUAAUCCAUUAACCAAGAUAUAGGAAGGUUUGGAUGCUGGGUCCACAGCCAAUUGUUGCAACAACUCUUGAGCUUUAGGAUCUUGUUGAGAGCUGUCCACAAUUUCCUGUAACCAAGAGGGCUGAGAAGAAGAGAUGGGCAUGGCUUGAGAGGGAGGAUGAGGUCUCCUGGAUAAAGCAUCUGCAGCAGAGUUAUAUGUGCCCUUUUUGUACAAGAUCUUAUCAUUGAGACCAAGGAGUUUGGUGAACACUUUCUGCUGCCAGGGUGUAUGCAACCUUUGAUCAGAUAAAUGAGUCAGGCUUUUCUGAUCUGUUUUGACCACAAACUCUUGAAAUUGCAAAUAGGGCCUCCACUGUUCCACUGCCAGAAGAAUAGCUAGAUAUUCUUUUUCAUAAACAGAUAAUCCUCUGUUCUUUGGACCUAAGGCUCUACUGACAAAUGCAAGAGGAUGCCCUUUUUGCAUAAGUACUGCUCCUAUACCAGUAUCACAAGCAUCAGUCUCCAAUACAAAUGGCAAGGAGAAAUCAGGGAGGGCCAUGUCAGGUGCUUGUACUAGAGCUUCCUUGAGAGUGACAAAAGCAGUUUUAGCAGCCUGGGUCCACACAAACAAUGUGCCUUUCCUUAAUAGUUCAGUCAAGCGUUUACUAAUCACACCAUAGUUUCUAAUGAAUUUCCUGUAGUACCCAGUGAGGCCCAAAAAACCCCUAAUCUCUUUUACAUUGACAGGAGUGAGCUAGUUCUGAACUGCUAGAAUUUUACAAGGAUCAGUAGAAACCCCUUUGUCACUGAUGACAUGACCCAAAUAAGCAAUUUGCUACUGUGCAAAGGAACACUUGCUCAACUUGACUUUCCAUUGCUUUUCUUGCAAGGUGCUGAGGACCUUUUCCACAUGCAAUAGAUGUUCCUUCAAGGUUUUACUGAAAAUCAGGAUAUCAUCAAAAAUACCAGAACAAAUUCCCUGAGUGCAGGUAGAUCAGAAUUCAUAGCACCUUGGAAUGUACCAGGAGCUUCAGACAGUCCAAAACCCAUGACCAAGAGCUCAUAAUGACCUUAAUGAGUUUGAAAUGCAGUUUUAAACUCUUCACCAGGGGCCAUUCUAAUUUGGUGGUAGCCUGCCCUUAAGUCCAGUUUAGUAAACCAGCAAGCACCAUGCAAUUCAUCCAGUAACUCAUCUAUCAUAGGUAUAGGAUAUUUUCCCUUCACUGUUAUAGCAUUCAAAUGCCUGUAGUCCACUACCAUGCGCCAAGUGCCAUCCUUCUUCUUGACCAUCAGCACAGGAGAGGAAAAGGGGCCACGACUUAGUCUGAUCAUACCAUUUUUCAGUAACUCUUUUACUUGUUUUUCCAUCUCUGUUUUCAAGUGGGGAGCCACUCUAUAAGGUCUGACAGCCACUAGUGUAGCAACCGGUAUAAGUGGUAUAGUAUGGUCAUACUACCUCCUAGGUGGCAGUCCUUUUGGUUCAUCAAAUACAGAAGAAAUUUUUUUCCAACAGUGCUUGUACUUCAGGAAUGUGAGAAUUGGUUUCUUUGUUUUCUGUGUCAGCCAAUUCCACACUCAUAACUGUAAAAGUGCAGUCAUCAGGUAGUACACCUUGUAAUGUGACCCAGUUUCCUUGAGACUGGAAUGAAAACCAUUUUUGAUCCCAAUCUAUCACCAUUAGACUAUGGUUUGAUAGCCAAUCAAGUCCCAAAAUUCCAUCAUAGUUGCCUAACUGAAGAAAUCUGAAGUCUGAUUUGAAUUCAUUAUUCUGACAAGACCAACUACAUUGCUUCACUAUCUGGGAGCAGUACAACUUAGCACCACCUGCUAUCUGGGAGCUAUAUUAUCUACUGUUUUGGACUAUAUUGGGCUUUAUUUUCCACUUUUAUAUUAUUUUUGGGACUAACCUAUUAACCGAAGGCCCAGCCCAGAAUUGUUGUUUUUUUGCCUAUUUCGGUGUUUCGAAGAAACGAAAUAUCAAACGGAGUCCAAACGGAAUAAAAUCUUCGGGAACGUGAUUUUGUCACCGAACGUGAUCCAGGAGACUUGGACCCUGCUCCAAGGAACAAAAGAGGCGGUCACGAGGGUGGGGGGCGCCCCCCUAGGGCGCGCCGUCCUGCCUCGUGGGCCCCUUGUUGCUCCUCCAGCAUACUUCUUCCUCCUGUAUAUACACACGUACCCCAAACGAUCAGAACAGGAGCCAAAAACCUAAUUCCACCGUCGCAACUUUCUGUAUCCACGAGAUCCCAUCUUGGGGCCUGUUCUGGAGCUCCGCCGGAAGAGGGCCGUCAUCACGGAGGGCUUCUACAUCAUGAUAGCCUCUCCGAUGAAGUGUGAGUAGUUUACCUCAGACCUUUGGCUCCAUAGUUAGUAGCUAGAUGGCUUCUUCUCUCUCUUUAAAUCUCAAUACAAAGUUCUCCCCCUCUCUUGUGGAGAUCUAUUCGAUGUAAUCUUCUUUUUGCGGUGUGUUUGUUGAGACCGAUGAAUUGUGGGUUUAUGAUCAAGUCUAUCUAUGAAUAAUAUUUGAAUCUUCUCUGAAUUCUUUUAUGUAUGAUUGGUUAUCUUUGCAAGUCUCUUCGAAUUAUCCGUUUGGUUUGGCCAACUAGAUUGGUAGUUCUUGCCAUGGGAGAAGUGCUUAGCUUUGGGUUCGAUCUUGCGGUGUCCUUACCCAGUGACAGAAGGGGCAGCAAGGCACGUAUUGUAUCGUUUCCAUCGAGGAUAACAAGAUAGGGUUUAUUUCAUAUUGCAUGAAUUUAUCUCUCUACAUCAUGUCAUCUUGCUUAAGGUGUUACUCUGUUUUUAACUUAAUACUCUAGAUGCAUGCUGGAUAGCGGUCGAUGAGUGGAGUAAUAUUAGUAGAUGCAGAAUCGUUUCGAUCUACUUGUCACGGACGUGAUGCCUAUAUACAUGAUCAUGCCUAGAUAUUCUCAUAACUAUGCUCAAUUCUGUCAAUUGCUCAACAGUAAUUUGUUCACCCACCAUAGAAUACUUAUGCUCUUGAGAGAAGCCACUAGUGAAACCUAUGGCCCCCGGGUCUAUUCUCAUCAUAUCAAUGUCCAUCACUUUAAUCUUGCUUUGCUUUUUUACUUUGCAUCUUUAUACCAAAAAUACCAAAAAUAUUAUAUCUAUCAGAUCUCACUCUCGUAAGUGAUCGUGAAGGGAUUGACAACCCGUAAUCGCGUUGGUUGCGAGUAGCUAUCGCUUUGUGCAGGUACGAGGGACUUGAGCGUGGGCUCCUACUGGAUUGAUACCUUGGUUCUCAAAAACUGAGGGAAAUACUUACGCUACUCUGCUGCAUCAUCCCUUCCUCGUCGGGGAAAACCAACGCAAGCUCAAGACGUAGCAAGUCACUAUCAGACGACUCCUGAUAGAAUGAAGCAGUACUUUGGGUGUGUUCAAUCAUCUCCUGCACUAUAUGGAGUUGAACAGAAGAUUUGUAUUGGUGGUCCUUGGACCAUUUCUCUCCACAGGUGAAACAUAACCCCUUUGAUUUCCUGUAGGUGCGCAACGUGAUCCACUUAUCCUCUGAGGAAGCGCCCUUGCCGUUCUCAAUAGGCCUCCUGUCAGCAGCAACUAGAGCUCUCUGAAUUGUCGAAGCUGCUGUCAUUGUCUUCUUGAAUUGAAACGGAGAGGAGUUUGUGUCACUUAAUUCUUCAUGGAGAAAGGCUGUGUCAUAAGCUGUGUCCAGGUCCUGACGUUUCUGCAGAGCAACUGACAUCCUCACACCCGGCUUGAGGCCAUCGAUGAAACAAGUGGUAUAGUACAGACUGUCAGGCACAUCCUCAUAAGCUGAAAGCUGGUCAUAUAGUUCUGUAAAUCGUUCCACAUAAUCUGUCACUGUCGAUUCCUGAGCAAUUCUGAACAUCUGUCUCACCAGGGUCUGAUGUUGAUUGCGACCGAAUCUGUUCAAUAACAGCUGACAGAACUUUGUCCAGGACAAAUUCGGUGAUCUACGCUGUACUGCCUCGAGCCAUCUAGCUGCUGCACCAUCAAACUUGGACGUGGUGAAGGAAAUCCACCUUGCUGCUGGAGUACCCCAUAGCUUGAAACAGUCCUUGCAGCGCGAUUGCCACAGUCGCGGAUUCGAGCCAUCGAAACGCGGUAGUUCCACAACGGGAGCAGAUUGGUACAGGUCAGAGACGUCCGAUGCAGCGAAAUCUCGAGGAGAAAAAAUUUCACGGGGAGAAACGGAAUCACACGCACCUCUGACCGGAGGAGGCACAUAAACCUGAUGCGCCUUCCCCCGGUGAAACUUGUCGAAGCCAAGGGGAUCUGUCGCCGUCGAAUCGCGGCCGCCCCCAACUUCCUUGCUGGUCGACGGGCUCGUCUGCUUGCACAGAAUCUCCUCCUUGCCGCAGCGCUCGAGUUCCACACGGAUUUGUUCAACGUCGAGGUUGAACUCGGAUCUAGCACCGUCGAUUCGCGCCGUGACGAGGCCGUCGAGCGCCAUCGUCGUCUCCUUGAGCAUUUUGCCGACGGACUUGAUGAUCUCCUCGCCGUGCGCCUUGAAGCGUUGAUCCAGCACCUCGGCGAAGGCCGCACGAAGCAGCUCCUGGAUCUCUCACCCCUCGGACGACAGCUUGUCCAUGGCGGCGCUCUGCUGCUGGAGCUUGAAACGCGUGGCGUGGACGUGGCUUGGGAUCUCCAGGAUCAGAAAGCUCCGAUACCAGAUGUAAGGAUCCUGCUACCUCCAUGAACGAGAUCUAGGUUUGAAUUUGGUUUAGCUGUCCUGCCAACCACCCACACAACAAUUCAAAUUACAAAUCACACACACACACGCUUGAGCCAGGCCGAAGCCUCCCGUUCCUUCCUGUCCUUUACUGAUGACGACGGGAAGUAUUUAAACCCUCUCUACCGUUACACCCGCUUAGCGGGCCUAGUCUGGGCUUGCAAGCCAUUGGGGAACCCUCUUGUUACGGAUGGGCCGGCCUGCCGGCCCAUGACUUGAGUUGCUCGCUUCCCGCGUCUCUUCUCGAUCAGCAUCAUCUUCAGUGUUGACGAUCGGGCUGCUGAUAAACAAUCACCGAUAAAAUUGUUGAACAUCUUCGUGGAGUCGAGGAGAUCCGCAUCAGUUGUCUUAUAAUAGAUGUCCUUGGUCAGGAUCUCGAACUCUGCCUCAUAAAUCUUCUGGGUCGCCAUGGCGAGGGCGACGGUCCUGCCGAUCUUGAGGUGGUCGUCGCCUCUCAUGAUGAACCUGAGCUUCAGCAUGCGGAUGGGGAUCCGAGGAGACCUCGUGCUCAGGAUCUUGUCCGCCACGUCGGCCACAUCACAGUUCUUCCAGAGUAGAUCGCCGUCGCUGAGGUCGAUGACGAUCUGCGAGAGCAAGGCCGGCAGGUUGAGCGUUUGCUUGGAGAUGAGGCAGGCCCUGACAGCGUCGAGCGCGCCGACCCUCUCCAAGAUGUUGAGCAGCACAUGGUCGGGCAGUUUGAUUAGCCUGUCGACUUUCAACAGCUGGAUAGAUAGAUUAAUAAGUUAAAUGAUUCAUGCACAAGAAUUUGAGGAGGAACACAAGCAACGGGGGUUUACAUCACGGCGGUGGCGGCGAACCCGGUUGAGCUUCAUGGCGGUCUGAUCUCCAGGAACAACGAAGUGGCAAAUGGUGGCUCAGCUUACAUCGCGGCGGCGGAAAUCGCCUGCACGGUCCUUCCUUAGGUGCGAUGCUCAAGAUUGCAGACGUUUAUAUGGCAGCCUCCUCUGACUUCAACAUUGUCAGUCAGUCCCCACUAUCCUUCUGGCAUUGCAUGUUCUUGGCGCUGUCGGCACCUUGGCGUCUAUCAUGUACGUGCCGCCGGGUCGAGACGCACGCUGCAGGGUAAGACGUAGACAUGUGGAUCUUCGUUUUGUGAACUUCACGUCAUGAUUUGCAAGCAGAGCAUCGGGCUACAGCUGCCGUUCGUGCCGCGCAAGCUCCAGUGGGGAACACAUUGUUCGCUCCGCUGCUGGCGUGCGUGCGCCCCGCUGCCGCGGGCCAGGGGGGCAUGCCCAUUGUCCAUUGAGCAAGGAGAUGGUGAAGGAGAUGAAAGAGUUGUCAGCGAUCGUCGUCGGGCUCGACGGCUCGUCCGCGGCGGCGAUGGUGUGCGGCAUGCAUGGAGUGGGGUGGCGUGUUGCGGGGAUGAGCACGUAGCAGGAGAAGACGUAGGGGAGACGGGUGAUAUGGCAAUACGUGGAUUGUCUGCUUGUUUUUUUAGAUAAAAGAGGCACCGGGAGGAGAAAAUGAUGCGGCCGUUGGAUGGUAAUUGAACGAGUCGGGAGUACGGAUGGGAGCACGACAAGAGAGCAGGCAAGCCCUUCUUGGUCUGUUAUUUUUUUCUUUCUAAAUGCAACUAUUUUUUCUUUCUACAAAGAUAAUUUACGAUCUAUUCAUCAACUGUAAGCUAGUAGUAGUACAAAGAACACUAAAAGGAAAAAAAUACAUCUAGAUUUGUAUAGAUCAUCUAGCGACAAGCUACAAGCAUUGGAGUUGUUAAAAUAAAUCCGAGGCACUCCGUCGAUCAUCCGAGGACUAAGCAAUCACACGAGCACGACACUGAUAUUCGUUAACGAGCUUCAUCGAUAUGGCUACGUCCCCGGAGCCUGACUACGGGCGCUCUUUCCCGUGACACCGUCACAAUACCGCACCCGGUCGCCCUGAACGCCAGCACAUGCCGCCGGCUUCCCCCUGCAUUUUGGUGCUAUUAUGUUGGCAUAGGUUACAUCGUGUGUCUAGCCUCGCUAUAUAUGAGAGGCUUAGGAUACAAGUGUCCUACUAGGACACGACUCCAUAUCCUAUCUAAACACAAUACAACUGCAAGUCCAACUUAACCUACCUUGUACACUAUAUUCGACACAACUUCAACAAACUCCACCUUGGCGAAUAUUCUCCACCACUUUAAAUUCGUCAAUGCAUCAAACUUUCAUGUACAUUGAACUUGAGCUUAUCCCGUGAGUACCGCUGCUACUCCAAAGACUCCAUGUGACUCCACCUGCAACUUGUAGUCCCAUCAUUUCUUGACAACAGUCAACACUCGAGCAAAAUUAAGUUCCUUGUUACUCUAGUUUGUGUUCCUAACUUCCAGAGUAUUCGUCCAACGCCAUCACACACUGAUCACUGACCUGCGUGAAAGUGAAUAACUCACAUAUUGGGUGUCACACAUAAGAGUUACCUGAACUCAACAUCACUGCUCCUUUCUUGACCGUCUGUAUGAAACCUGAAGGAAUUUCACCAUUUUUUGUAGUCAUCCCGAGUCAAAUUCACAGUUGUCUCACCACAUGUAUGACCACCAGAGCCCUGGCCCGUCUCCAUGUCCCAUGCAUACCGCACGCCUCACCGCUAUUAUCGCGUCGAGCCUCCGCUGUCCCGGUCGAGUCUCAAGGGUCGCGAACCCACACCACUCAAGCCCCACUACAAAGUACCACCGAUCAUCACCGACCGAUGAUGAGUUUCAGGCUUCCAUCAGACCACUGGGUUCCAGUCCAAACUACGUGUCACUCGCUUUUCUCCCUUGCCGAAUAGGCUUCGAUUCUCUGGAUCCUUACACCGUAGCCCCUCAAUCCAGCUCCACCUUCAACAUGACUCCAUGGUAGAUGAUCAGUCCACCCUCGCACCUCAUCGACUUCAAGCUCCGUGUAUACACCACCUUGAAUCAAUCCCGCGCCAUAGUCUUGUCGAAGCCACACAAGCCCUCGGGCCUGCGCCACGUGUUUCCACGCCCCAGAAGUCGGUCACUAUCAGCAUCGCGCACCUAUGUCGUCGUCGCCGAUUCCAUCACCGUCUUCUGUACCAACCGACUUGCCGCCGGCUUCCCCCGCGUUCCGGUGCUGUUAUGUUGGCAUAGGUUACAUCGUGUGUCUAGUCCCGCUAUAUAUGAGAGGCCUAGGAUACAAGUGUCCUAUUAGGACACGACUCCAUAUCCUAUCUAAACACAAUACAACUACAAGUCCAACUGUAACCUACCUUGUACACUAUAUUCGACACAACUCCAACAGGAGCGAGCCGAAGGCGCGCCAUCGUCUUUGCCUCUUCCACAUUGAACCCCGACAAACCUUUUUAUAGUAAACAGUCAAAAAGUCAUCGUGCUAAGGCCUCAUAAGGCCAGCCCGCCAGAAUGCAGCAACGCUACCGAUGAAGAGAAGUAUAGAUCGAAAGGAUCUAACCUAUAGACCCAGGCACAUAGAAGAAUAAAGACAUGAUCCACGUGGAUUUCACUGAAGACAAACGCCGCCCGAAUCAUGUGAGAUCUGCCGGAGAGAAAACUUCACACAUCCAACGACGAUACUAGAAACACACCGGGACGGUAACUAUGCGGGGAAAAACUUAUUCCCUUUUCAGAGAGCCGCUGCCGCCUCACCUCUCUAAGCAGAACAUAAACCCUAACAAAACUCAAAAGAUUAUGAAAAAAUCAAGCCCUCCCGCCGGCAAAGGCAAAGAUCCACCGCGCGUACAUUGGCCCUAAGACCACAGAAAAAGGAGGUAGACCAAGGACGGCACUGGCCAGAGGCAUUGUCGAUGUUGCACGAUGCCACGACAACAUCACCAGUGUUGUGGAUGUCACCGUGCAACUUCGCCGACGUUGCCAUUGAUGCCACAAAACAUCGCCUGUGUUGCGGAAGCACCGGGCAACACACAUCACCUUGUAGUUGUAGCACCCGAGCGGAUCGGCUUGUACAACAACUUGGGGCUUGCUACACCGGCAUCCCCUGACCACUCCAUUGCGGCGGCAUUCGGUGGCUCGGUGCCCCCAGCCUGCCAUACCCCAGUGACGGGCAGUACCUCUCCUUGGAGCAGUAGGCGUCUUUUUUUUAGAGUAUUUUUCGGAUGAAGCAGUAGGCGUCUUGCGUAGAGUAGCUGGGGAAGAGUUAACAAAAAUACCACGCAUCAAAAUUGUUCAUAGUAUAUGUUUUCAGCGUGUAUUUUAAAAUUGAUCUUUGUGUUUGAAAAAUAUUUCCUCAUAUAUUUUAAAAAUAGGUUCGCCGUGUACUUGAAAAUGUUCAUCCUGUAUAUGCAAAAUGUUCAUUGUGUCUUAAAAAUACUUCGCCAUGUCUUCAAACUUUUCUUAUGUACUUUAAAAAUGUCCAUCAUGCUUUAAAAAUAUAUUCAUCGUAUAUGCUCAUCGUGUCUUACAAAUGUCCCUUGUAUAUUCAAAAUAUCCAUCAUGUAUUUUAAAAAUGUUCAUCGUGUAUUAGAGAAGUACCAUGCAUCAAAAUUGUUGAUGCUGUAUCUAGAAAAUGUUCAUCGUGCAUUUUAAAAAUGGUCAUGUUGUGCGUGGUGCUGGAAACAAACAAGCACGAAAAAUACGGAGUUUUGUUUACACUUCAGGAUCGCCUUGUGCUUGGGUGCUCCUAUCAUUCUGAAGAAUUCGGUGAAAUCCAUGGAAACGAACAAUUUUUCAAAUUCAUGAAGAUGCCCACAUAUAUAUGUCAGGUUCCGGAUGAAAAUCUUAAGCUAAGACUUCCAGUGCUACUUCGUAUCAUUCAGCAAGCAGUUUAAACCUGUGAACCUGUCGAAACAAAAGAAGCCACUGAUCAAUGCUGGAAAUAAACCUUGCGGCUUCAGAAACUUCAGUUCUGUAGGUUCAGUUUCAGGUGUCGUUUUCUUCAGUUUCGUCAGUUGGCAGAUUUGUUAGUUAGAAGGUUUAGCUCGCAGGCUUGACAACCUGGAGUGGAUGAGGAUGGUGCAUAGUCGCGGCCACUAGCCCCAUUUCCUUUUCUGUAAUCUGCAUAAAUAGAAGAGAAUAAAGAGCAGAAAAGCCGCAGAAGUUUGAGCAGCCCGAAACCUCUUCUUCUACCUCUCGAACUUUUGCUAUGAAACUGAAAUGCAUCCUGAGCCCGCUCAAUAAGAUAGCAUGCCAAGUGAUAUGCCAAAGACUUAGUCAUUAGUCAACGGUAGAAGUAAAAUAAACUGAAGCCACUGAAACUGAAUUCCCUCAAAAAGUAAAUAAAAGCCACUGAAACUGAAGCAGUUCCCCUGGAAAGCAAAGUUUGCAUUCUUAGUACAGUGAGAAGUAAAACUCAUUUCACAAUGAAAACCAGGUUCAAGCAUUUAUCAGGAAUAAGAAAUAUCCACGAUAUCCAUUUGAUAAGAUACUUGACAAUAAUGUUUAGAGUAAACCUUAUCCUCCUCGACUCAGUACGAUCUCAAAAUACACAUAAUUGAAAAGGUUCACUAGUGACAAUUAAUCCAUGAAUCAUACGACAGUUUCUGUAAACUGAAGCUUGCAGUGCAAGAGCAUUAUUAUUUUCAGAAGACUUGCCCCAAACUCGGAAAGUGAAUCCGGACAUGCGAGGGUAUCUCCUUGCUGAAUUCGUAGCUAAGCCAAGACGUCUCCUCAAAUGUCCACUCCUUAAGCAUGUGCUUGCACCUAACACACACUGGACUCUUGUAUAGUCUUAUAUUCUCCAGAUUCACAGCUGCUUCCACGACAUCUCUGGCAAAUCGCACUAGUUUGUCUGCUGCAUGAAACCUCCCAUAGAUACCGAGCUCUGCCAGGUUGUGGUGCUUGAAAUCAGAUGCAGAUGGUUCCCACUCUAGUCCCUUGUCCUUCUCCUUGCAAACCACAGGCAACUCCCUCCGCUUCCCUGUUAUCAUUUCACAUUGAUGAUUCCGCACCUGCAUUCGGUCAGGUCAAAAAAAAAAUUCCUAACUGGUCACACAAAGUUUGAACAUCGAAAAUGAGAAUUGGAGAAUCGGUACAAGAGUUCACCAAGAUGUGUAGUUCCUUAAGGUUGGGUGCGCCAUGGAGUAAGAACAUUGUCCAAGUCAGAUCACACUCUUCAGCAAUGUUAAUCCAAUUCACAAUCCUGAGUUUGUGGAACACCGGUAACAAUUGUCUACGACCUUCCGGUUUGACCCAAAUCUGCAAAAGAUGUAGUAAUGUAGGAUCAUGUUAACCAAAAAAUAAUGAUUACAACCUCCCCACGACAUGGCCAGCAAAACAUAUACACGUCGCUGACAACAUUGAGGACCUUCACUAACCUUUUCGCUUUUGAAGUCCAAAGACAGAUUGCUUAUGGCAGAGUUACCAAGCAACUCACUUAACUUGAGCAUCUUGUGCCAAGUGAAAGCAACAUUAAUGAUGGACACAGUCUGGAGCAGUGGGACAUAGCCAAGACAGAAGGGGUCAUCCCGAGAUCUAAACACAUUAAAUUUCAGUUUUGUGAGCUUUGGUACCCACUUCAGAUCAACCCUCUCAAAACGGCCACAGACAAUCACUAGUUCACUGAGUUGCGGGUGUUCCACUUCCAGCAAAGACUUAAUACCCAUGUCACAUUCGUAGAGGGAGAGGAACUCCAGUUGCUUGCAUAUACUGAAAAUCUUGGGGAAACCUGAUUCUCCUAACCUCAAAUUCUCUAGCGUGAGGCGUGCAAGACCACCAAAUGCGUUUGGACAUGAAUCAAAGAAUGACAUGAAUUGCUUCCCAUAUAUGAGCAGCUCAUUCUUGGUACACUUCUUACGCACCUUCGUCAAGAUUGUAAACUCAGCUGAAUCAACCUUUUGUGUUGCUAUGGCAUUGGCAACAGUCUGGCCAAUUAAAAUGGACUCAUCUCCCAAGUAGAAUUGCAUGCGCAACAGGUGAAUGGGGUACAGACUUCCAGCUCUCCUUUCCAGUAUGCUCCUGGUUGCUUCCAGCACGGUGGUGUUGGCCCGAACUAUAUCAUCUGGGGUUAACUUGCUCCAGUCUUCGUGCUUCGGCUCAAAAGAACCAGCCAAUAUAACAACUUUCGAGAGUAUAGCAGGGAUCUGCUUCCAACGUCUGGAGAGGACGGUGGUUCGUGCGACGUCAACGAUACCAAGUCGCUCGACAAUGUUGAGCAAAACGUCAUCAGGCAACUUGCUGAGCCGAUCAUCUUGACUGUCCUCCUACAUUUGAUAAGGAAACAAAUCAGAGUUGAUUUCUUGUUAGCAUCAUCAUUCAUAGAUGCCUGUGAAGCACGGAUACGGACAAAUCUGCCAUUUCCACGUACAUAAGGCCGCUUAUAGAGAGGAUGAUCCAGCUAGAGCUCAAAGGGUGACAACACCAACACCACCAUGUUCGCCAUCACCGGAGAGGUUUUGCGAUGUCUCGGGACUUGCUGGCCUCCGGCGAAUUCUAGUGACUGCCAGGGAGACCACCGCUUGGCAGGGGCAGAGCUAGCAAUUGACAACAGGAUGGUCCGCCUCAAAAGAAUUGACAACAAAUAUGACAUGUAAAGAUUGUAACUAAUUGCAAAUUACCACAUAGAAAUAGAUUAAUAUGGUCUUACAAACACACUAAUCAGAGGUUGGGGAACUGGAAAAUGGUACCUCAAAUCAGGCUGAGACGAGUGCCGGAGUGAAGACCGGGCGGUGGGCGGCUGCGGCCGGGGCAGGGCAACAGGGUUGCGGCCACGGGUGGUGGCGCGGCGGGCUCCGAGCGACGGGGUUUUUUUUCAUACCUACAUGAAUGUCAUGUCAUCACAAAAAUUUGCAGCAAGCUAAAACUUUCAUCAAUGUUUAUAAAAAAAUCAGAAUUUGUUUACUAUUAUUUUGGAUUUUAUUGUUCAUCAAGGAGCAUGUGAGCUCGGAUUCAAAUACUCCGCGUGCAAGAAAAGUAUACUUUUCCCCCUCAAAUCCAUAUAGAUGGAUCAAAUACCACCCAAAGUCUAAAACCGGUUAAAUCACCCCCAAACUCUGCAAUACCGGAUCCAUAAGCCUCUCAAGUGGUUUUGGGAAGGAUUACAACCGGUUUGACUAUAGGUUGUUGACUUGUCAUUUCACUUGUGCCCCGUGACGCCAUGUUCUUGAUGACCGAGCAUCUCGCCGGGCAAGUAAUGGCUCUGACCAUCCAUCCAGGGUGAGGUUGUUGGCGCUAGUGCCGCGGGGAUUGUACCCGAGUGCGUGGUCACCAGGGCUCAGGAGGUGCCCAAGGUGCGCCCUCACGGUGAUGAUGGUGUCGCUCCUGCCCAGCUCCGACGAGCGCAUCGAGCUGCCUCGCCGCGUCCGCCAUGCACGACAGCAGGAGGACGGCGACGAUGGCCAUGAGGGCGGCUCAGGACCACGACGCAAAACAGAAGUCGACAUCGCCGGCGAGGCAGCAUUUAAUUUUUAAAAACUUGAACAGUUUUUUCAAAACAUAAACAACUUUUGAAAUUGAGAACAUUUUUUGAAACAUGAAAAGAAAUUAAAGCGUGAACUUUCUUUAAAAAAUAUGAAAAAAUAAUUAAAUUGAGCACAUUUUUUGAAAAAAUUGAACACUUUCUGGAAUUAAAAAAACAAACAGUCUUUGAAUUCCAAAAAAAUGAUUUUUUAGAACAUGAACAUUACAAAAACAAACAGUCUUUGAAAUUCCAAAAAAAAUGAUUUUUUAAGAACGUGAACAAAAUUUUGAAGCUUUUGAAAAAAACAAACAUCUUUUAAAAUUUUGAUUUUUUUUAAACAUACAUGAUAUUUUUUGCAAGUUUUAUAAAAAGAAAAGAAAAAACAGUAACAACGAAAAAGAGAAAACUUGGGAAAAACCAUCAAGAAAACAACAGGAAACCAUCAAGAAUUGGGAUCUCUUGCCCGUACCCUAGCUAUUGAGCCGGCCCAUAUGGCUGUCACUGUGCAAAGCAGCGACAUUUUGCCCGGGAGCUCCCAAGGGUGUGUUUGAUAGCAUGUAUGGAACUAGCCUAGUUGUUCUCAUGUCAUACAUGCUGAGUGUAGACAUGCUGAGUCCAUGCAGUUGCUGUUGUUUGGCAGUGAUGUAUGCGUUGAGACAUGCUGAGCUGAGAUUUUGUUUGGUAGCCUGCAUGUGUUUAGACAUGCUGAACAAUUUCAAAUUCUGAAUAUAUUUUUUGAAUGAUGAACAAAAUCGAAAAAAUCUCAACACAAAUUUAAACAUAUUUUGAAAAUUUAAAUAAAAUUUGAUAUUCUAAACUUUUUUGGAAAAUUAAAAUAAAUUUUGAAAUUCUUUUUUUAAUUUGAACAUAUUUGAAAUUACGAGUUUUUUUGAAAAUUUAAAUAAAAUUUGAAAAUUUUAUAAAAAAAAUAAAAUUCUAUUUUUUCAAAAUUCAAACAAAUUUUGAUUUCCUUUUGAAAUUCUGAACAUUUACAAUUUUUUUAGAAAAAAAUGAAAUUUCAAAUAUUUAAUGAAAAUUCAAACAAAUUUUGAAAUUAUGAUUUUUUUGAAAAUUUAAACAAUUUUGAAAUUCAAACUUUUCAUUUUUUCUGAAAUUCUAAGGUUUUUCGAAAAUUUAAACAAAUUUUGAAAUUCUGAUUCUUUUUGAAAAAAUAAACAUAUCUGGACGUGGUCUGGCCGGUGGGGACGAGUGUUAGGCCGGCAUAGCUGCCUCGAUGCACCCUGUCUGGAGUGCAUGAGAUGAGCAUGGCUGAGGGCACUUUUAUGCAUCAGAUGAGCAUAGCUCAGAUGAGCCCAUGCACCCUACCAAACAAGCAAAAGUGGGUCAGAUUAGGAACUUUUGCCCUCAUGCACCCUCCAUGCACCCUACCAAACACACCCUAAGUGACGGCUUAAGCGCCACUUGGAUGAACGGGUGCCCACGCGCCCCUGCUCAUGCGCUGGCCCAGGUAAGGUGAGUGUUGGAUCGAUUCACCCGUUCCCACCCCUGGUCACUCUAGCACUAUUUGACCAGUCGCGGUUGACCAGUUGUCUGAUCAACCUUUAACUUUUUAAAAAUAGGGAAAAAGUAAACAAUGCGGAAAAACACAAAUAAAAUUGAAAAAAAAUGUGAAUUCAAAAAUGUUCACAGACUUUGAAAAAUUUCAUGAAUUUGUAAAAAUAGUUCGUCAAAUUUGAAAGAAAAUUCAUCGAAUUUGCAAAAAGGUCAUCACCAUCUUCACCAACUGAGUCUUUUGUAGGAGUAGAGAUGCGGCUGAGGACACUUGGCGCCAUGCCUUGACUGAAUGUCGGAUGGCCUAGUGUUCAUGGGCGUUGGGAGAUGAAGAAACAUGGAACAUAUGAUCUCUAAUUGUUCGGGCGAUGCCCGGCUAUGUUUGUUCUGUUUGUUUGAACCCAUGAACCAGCAGGAGCUUGCGUGAGUGGUUAUUACCCUAUGGGCCAUCUGGCGGGCUCGAAAGCAGGCAAUUCAGAUGACAAAUUUCAAAGUCCUCUUUCUACAAUGGGUUUCAUCAAUAGUGUAACACCCUCGAUGCGACUAUAUCUCUCACGUGUCGAGGCACGACUUAGAGGCAUAAUCGCAUUGAAGGCAUAUGCCGCAAGUGAGGUAAUCUUCACACAACCCAUGUAAUAUAAUAAGGGAAAGAGAUACAUAGUUGGCUUACAAUCACCACUUCACACAAUUACAUGAAUAAAGCAUUACAUCAACCAAAUACACUCAUGGUCCGACUACGGAACCAAAAUAAAAGAAGAACCCCAAAUGCGACAAAGGUCCCCGAUCGACCCCAACUGGGCUCCACUACUGAUCAACUAGAACGAAACAACACAAAUAAACAAGGUCUUCAACGAGCUCCUCC